GUGAUAUAUAAUUAAAUUUGCCUUCAACCACUAGCUUAAGCUUUUGGAUGAAUUGGUGGUUUAAUAUGGUAUCAGAGCAGGUGGUCUAGGGAGGUCCUGUGUUCAAGCCACUGCAUUGUCGUUUCCUCCCCAAUUAAAAUCAAUUUCCACUUAUUGGGCCUUUCAAAGAUUUCAAACCCAAAAGUGAGGUAAAAUUGAUUCCACUUGUUGGGCCUUUCAAAUAUUUCAAGCCCACAAGUGAGGGGGAGUGUUGGUGAUAUAUAAUUAAAUUUGCCUUCAACCACUAGCUUAAGCUUUUGGAUGAAUUGGUGGUUUAAUAAGGGCCAUGGUCAUGAACGCAGAUAGUACACUAGAACACCCGAAGGGGAACAUCAGGGAUGAGACAAGUAGAGGGAUGAGACUUUUUGAAACAUUCUAGGGGAGUCUGGAGGUGGAGGACACAAGAAGAUAUUCGGUUGAUAAAAUGAGUUGCGGUAAGAAUAUUGCCCCACACAUAGGAGGGAAGGGAAGUAGAUAACGGGAGGAAACGGGCUACUUCCAGAAGGUGACGGUUCUUUCUCUUGGGAACCCCAUUUUGUUGGGUGUGUAAGCAUAGGAGCUCUGGUGAACACUCCCUUUGAAGGAUAGGAAUCAUUAAGGGAAUGGUUUUGAAACUCAAGACCAUUUUCACUCCCUACAAAUUCAAUUUUUUGCAUUGAAUUAUGUUUCUACGGUGUGAUAAAAGUCUCAAAAAAUGGAGAUGACCUCGGAUUUGUCGAAGAUGUGAAAGAUCCCUGUAAGACGAGUAUGGUCAUCAAUGAAGGUCACAAGCCACCGUUUAUAUCGUUGUGAGGGAAAGGAGGCUCGAUGCUAUUUCUCCCGAAUACACAUCACAGUAUAAGGUAGAAACAUUCACAUUAGAGAAGAAAUGAGGAAAUAAAUGUGUAUCAUAUAUUGAAAAUUAGGGUGGCCCAAACGGAAAUGCCACAACAUACAAUCUUUUUUAGAAGUGGUAAAGCACAAAGAUAAAAAACUAGUCUUAGAGGUUCUACUGGAGGAAGCAUCAUCAUAGGAGGUAGAGUCCCCUAUUGUCUCGGGCAGAGCCAAUCAUCCUCCUUGAGCUUUGAAAAGAAACAAAAGCAGAUAAGAAUGUUGCUUUACAAUUCAAUUCAUAGGUAAUUUUGCUUAUAGACAGCAAAUUAUAAGAUAUUUUAGGCACAUGCAACACAUUAUGUAAGGAUAGCCCUUCAAAGGAAAAUUUUUACCCCUUCCUAGCAAUGGGGACCGAGGAGCCAUUGACAAUUCUAAUUUUUUCAUUACCGACAUAAAGAAAAUAUGACACAAAAUGCUCAGAAGAACCUCUCAGAUGAUCUGUGGCGCUAGAGUCCAGAGUCCAGGGGUCUUCCCAUCAACAUGAUAGAACACUGAUAUUGUGUUUUUAUUUUAUUGAUAUCACAAACAGAAAAUUACAAUAUUAAAGAACCUUAACCAGACCCUUCCUUUCUUUCAAGGAAUGUUGCUGCCCAUUAACUUCACCAAAUUCUUCAUGUCUUUCUUCCCUCCCCAACUUCCUAUUUAUAACCAUCUAAUUGCCUUAUGUAACUAACUACCCUUAGCUCUAUCUAAAUCUAGGUAUCUAACAUUACCCGGGCCUUCAAAAACACAUUGUCCUCAAGGUGUGCUUACAAAUAUGAUCACAAAAAUUGAUCCCCUUUUUCUUUUAAUUACAACUCUUCACAAUGAUAUGCUCAUCAAGUUUGAAAAGGAAAAAAAAAAAAUCCCUUUAGCUUCAAAAAAUUCUGGACUCCAAACAGAUCCACUGCCUUCAGCCCACAAACCAGUCCCCUAUUACUGAUCCAAAACAUUCUUCCUUUCCCCAUCCUUAGGCACGUUUUUUUUUCCAUUUUCCCCAUUCUUGAAAAUAUCCACCCACUUCCUCCACACAAUAAUGGACCUCCACUAUUCUGACUCUCCAUUUAUCAAAUGUUGAAGCCUGCUGAAAAAAUAAAGCCCAAGAUUUUAGGGUUUAUUCCUCUUGCACUAGCCUUCUCUCCUAUCACUUUCUGCCACGUCAUUGGCAUUCCUUUGUGUGCAACUUCAUCUUCUUCACGCAGUUUUCCCAUCUUCCCGAUCACCUCCUCGGACCACCGUGGACCGCCAUUUUCUGGCGUUUUCUUUCUCCUUCACAUCCAGACGACUGCCACCGUCUUCUUUUCCCAUCCAUUUGCCGUCAUUUUCUUCUUCAUUUGCAUCCAGACGACUACCAGCUUCUGCUGCUUCUUUUCCCAUCGCGACGAAACCACUUCCAGCUUCUUCAUUCUCCAUCGCAACCAACCAGUAUCUGUUUCCUUAAGCAACAACUUUUUUUCACUCGAAUCUUCAUUUCGUAUCUCAUCGUUAAUUCUUGCUGACCUUCUACAGUUGUUUCCCAUUUGAUGGCUGAAAUUCGUCCGCAGAACAGUUCUUCGCUCACCUUAUUUGAUCGAAACCAAUCUAAUGGCGUUUCCUCGAACCUUAUUGCUGCAUCGAUUAGUUUCCCAAAAUCACCCAGUUUAUACUUUUGUAACUUCUGUUCGGUACCUAAAAAAAUGAAUCGAAGUCGUUGCCGCUAAACACUGGUAAUUCUACCUUCUUGAGUUCGUUUGGAUCACUCAUAUCUUCUUCAAUUCCUAUCUUCUUCAUUCGUUCUUCAUUCUUGGUUUCUCUCGACGGUAUAUUUCUUCCUUCGACUGUAUUGUCUGUCAUCAACAUUUGACUUGCCGAUGCUGUGCUUUCUACACUCAUUUCAAUUUUUUUCUUCGCCAAGCUUUUGAUGUACUGAAUAUGUUACUGUUUCUUCGUUUGAUCCUCUAAGUGCUCAAUAAUACUGUUGCUCCUUUUCGAUUAUUCAAUUAUUUCCAAUAUGAAUUCUUCACCUUGCCCUACCUUAUUCUCACGCAACUUUAUUCAGCUGAAUGGAUCUUCUAUUUUGCUCGUAGUAGAUCUCUCAGGAAUCACGUCUUCAAUAUGUUUCAUUAGCGAAUCUUCUUUGAUUUCUCUCCUUUUCGCUUCUUCCUUCUCCUUUAACAACUGCUUUUGAUUUUUGAUUUCUCUCUUUUCUGUUUCUUCCUUCUCUAUCAUUUCAAUCCACUUUAACAUCCGCUGGUUGGUCUCCUUGAUUUGAAUUCCCAUUCGCUCCACAUUUUUUAUUAUGGAUUCCAGAGUUUUUGUGACUGCCAUUUUCCUUCAAUUUCCCAGGAAAUGAGUGCUUUGAUACCAAUUUGAUAGAACACUGAUAUAGUGUUUCUAUUUUAUUGAUAUCUCAAACAUAAAAUUACAAUAUUAAAGAACAAACAAGUAAAAGAAUCCUAAUCCUUUGCCCUUCCUUUCUUUUAAGGAAUGUUACAGUUCAUUAACUUCACCAAAUUCUUCAUGUCUUUCUUCCCUCCCCAACUUCCUAUUUAUAACCAUCGAACUGCCUUAUGUAACUAACUACCCUUAGUUCUAUCUAAAUCUAGGUAUCUAAUACAACACUAAUAAGAUUGAAAGAUUGAGGCAUACUUGACUGGGCAAUAGCUCCUAGUGUGGUCAAACUAGGAUCGUCCUAGUUCAUAGGUGGUUGAGAAGGUCCAGCAGACUUAGUCAUAUAGGCCCGCCUCAAAUUCUGUUUGUUUGGGAGGCCGUUUCUUACCGUCGGAGGAAAAACCAUGUAGUUUCCAACACUGGUCCUUGGUGUGCCACUGUUUUUUGCAAUGCUCACAAAUAGGGAUUAGUUUGCCAUUGUGCUACUCGCUGUCAUGAGUAGUGGAGCUCACAUUGAAGGCAACGGAUUCAAUUGCGGGGGUGGUCGAAUAUUCAUGGCGCUUGUGUGGUCCUCCUCAAGGUGAACUUCAGAACAAACCUCCAUUAGGGAAGGAAUAGGUCUAUGCCCAGUAUACGCCCACAAACUACAUCGAAUUUCAAAUUGAGGCCAGCAAGAAAGUCAUAUUCUGUUAGUCUCUUCAAUUCUAGAAUACCGUAUGCCAUCACUAGAAUAGUCCGAUGCCAUUUCUCUGCAAAGAUCCAUUUCCUCUUAAAUCAGAAAAAAAUUGUUAAAAUAGGAUGUUAUAUCCAUUGCCCCUUGCUUGCAUUCAUGGACUGGUUUUUGCAGUGUGUAGAGCCGACAAGCAUUUUGAUGCUUCGAAUACAAUUUCUUAGCUUUAUCCCAAAUGUCCUUAGCAGUCGCAGCAUACAACAAAGGCUUCCCAAUUUGUGGCUACAUACUGUUGAUUAACAUGGGCCAAAUUAAAGAAUCCUCCCCUUUUCACUAGCGUUUCUGGAGAUCUUCUGGUAGCGGACGGGGUAUUUCCUUUGUCAGAAAACCAAAUUUGUGGCGUCCCUCUAGGAUCAAUUUUCAUAGACUGGGACCACAAGAAACAGUUUUGGCCCUUCAGUUUCUCUCCUAAAAAAUAUCCUGUAGACUAUGCCAAUAGACACAUAAGAAGAAAACAAAUUAGGGAACGACGUUACCGGAUUCUUGGAAUACAUCAAUAAGGUUGGAGGAAUGCCAUGACUAGGAGUGUUUGUAGGAGCCCCUAGUGUUGCCUCAAAUGCCGCAAUUUGUUUUUUUUUUAAAAAAAAAGAGACGAACUUCAAUAUUAUUAAAACUCAAAGUACAAGAGAGUUACACAUUGAGAGUAAUAGAGAAGCCUAGAAAUGGGAGAGAGAGAGAGGAUCAGUAGGUGCACCCAGACAUCUCAACUAGGUUGACACCCCAUUAGUACCUUCGUCAUAUCCAAAAAAACAAGAACAAUAAUAAGGUCUUGAAAAGGCCAAGAUAACAACCAAAUAACAAUAUAAGCUUCCUACGGUAGACAAAAGCAAAGCUGAAAAGUAAAAACUCAACAGUAGAAAUACAAAUUAAGGCCCGUCAAAACUAUAAAAGCACAAAUUCUGAACUAGCAAUCGUGGAAACUGCAUUUACUCUCUUCAGAUGAAUGCCACAAUUUGUUAUCUAAGCAUGUCCAGUUGUUGUUGGGCGGUACCCUGAGAAAAGCCUUGCACUUGACGUUUGGACUAAGUCGAGGAUUCACCAACCUCAAAUGUCGACUGGGCAUGAGGAUUACCAACACCGGGGUGACAAUUGGGUAAAGUUUCUGGAGAGGUAUAGUAUCAGGUCGGGUAGUGGUGUAGGAUUUGGUUCGUUGUGGUGUUGGAUAGAUCUAGGGUUUGUGGCAAACUGGUAGGAUUUGUGGUAGGAUGAUGUAAUUCAAGUUGGAUUGAUUUUUCAAAAGAAUUCUCUGCCAAUAAUGGCUAAGAUAAGGGGUAUUUAUUGAGAAUUUGUAAGUAGUUACAAUUAGUUGAAAUUACUGUUUAUGAAACAGCCUUAACUGUUAAACAGUUUAACUGUUUAAACUGUUUUACUAACUAACUACAGCUGUUUAACCAUAGCUUUAUUCUAUAUUACAUCAUUCCACCCCCUUAGCAUCAAACUCGUCCCGAGUUUGUCAUGAAAGUUGAAAUCCAUCUGGUGCAAUGGAGUAUGACCAAACCAACCUCCUACAUUUUGGACAAAAAUAUUGUGAUCGAAGGGAUAAAAUCGAGACAAAAAAUCAAAUAUGGCCACUAAAAGAUGAAUCUCUCCAUCGGCCAUAAACCCAAAAGAGACGUUCCCUUCAAUCUCAUUUAAAGCCGUCUUCAAAGAAUCAAUUUCAAAAGAAUAAACUUUUGAAGAAAAUCCUUCGUUAAUCUUUUUCGUUAUAGGGAGUAAGACUACCUUUCUUCCCAUCCAUUGAAACUCAUAUGUAUUUUCUCUCCAUUUGUGUAAUGAUUGAGUAUCAUACUGCCAAGGUCUUCCUAGUAGGAGAUGGCAUACAUCCAUCUCAAUGACAUCACAAACAAUUUGGUCUUUGUAGGCGUUUCCAAUGGAGAGAGGGACUGUACAGAUUUCGCUGACCGUGGCUUCUCCUCCUUUUCUCACCCAACCUAUCUUGUAAGGGUUUGGAUGUGCUUCAGCCUUUAGAUUCAAGACUGUUACUAAUUUCUUUGCUACGAAGUUUUCACUGCUGCCGCUGUCUAUGAUUACAUCACAUACUCUUCCGUUUAUGGUGCAUCUUGUCUUGAAAAGACAGUGGCGUUGCAGGUUCUUUUCUUCCUUGGGCGUAAUUAGUAACCGUUGGAUAACACAAGAGACCCUUUCCCCAUCAUCUGCUUCAAUCAGUUCAGUUUCUUCCUCUGCUUCUAUACUGUCUUCACUUGUCUGUCCUCCUUCUUCGGCUAUUGCAAUGGUUCUUCUUUGCGGACAGUUGUUGGACAGGUGGCCAGUUUGGCCACAUCGGAAGCAUUUUCCUAAUGACGGGCGGGAGUAGUUGUUCUGACCACUAGGCUUGAACGUCUGUUCUUUCUUUCUUUCAACGGCUACUUCUUGAUUAUCAAUCUCUUUCCCUUUUGCUUUUGUUGAGGUUGAAGGUUGGUCGUUUGUUUUGCUUUUUGUCGAAUUUGUUUCCCAUGCUGAUCUUCUAUUUAGAUUCUUGGAUCGAAUUGCAAUCAUCUCCUCUACCGUUUCUGCAAAUGAUAUUGCUUCAGACAGGAAACAGAAUGGUUGUAGUCUGACCUUUUCCUUGAUGUCGAAUCGAAGGCCUCCCACAAAUCUUGCAACCUGGUGCUGUUCAUUUUCGCUUAGGUUUGUUCUUGCACUCAGGCGGUGGAAUUCUUCAAUGUACUCAGCUACUGUCCGGACACCUUGGCGGCAGUUUUGGUACUGAUUGUAUAAAGUUUGUUCGUAGUUUGGUGGUAAGAAUCUUGCCUUCAGUAAUUUUUUCAUCUUUUCCCAUGAGCGAACCGGUUGUUUCCCGCAUCUUUGUCUAUUGAUUUCUAACUGAUCCCACCAAGCUGAUGCACCAGCCCUUAAUUUUAAGGCUACUAGGUGGACUUUCUUGCGUUCAGGUGUAUCCAUGUAGUUGAAGAAGUUUUCAGUACUCUUUAUCCAGUCCAAGAAUGCUUCUAUGUUUCGUUUGCCAUCAUACAUGGGAAGGUCAAUCUUCAUCUUAUAAUCGUGGUAUUCUCCUCUUCUGGCCUCAAUUCUUCGGUUAUUUCUUCCUGCUCGUGCUUCAUCAUUGAAGUUCCACAUGUUUCCUUGUUCAUCCCCGCUUGAAGAAUCAUCUUCUUGGGUUUCUUGCCAAGCUUCUUGAUCUUCUUGAAGGUCUUCGUCAAUCUGUUGCUGUAUAGCGUAACCGGGUCUCCUUCUUUGAAGUCCUCGUGGAUUGUUCAUGUUUCUAAUGUAUCCCCUUGCUCGCCGGCCUCUUGCUUCACCAAAACGUUGGUCGUUUUGGAAGUUAAUUUCAUUCCGUGGUGGUGGCUGUGGGAAUUCUCCUCUUCGGUUUAACAGUUCGACACUUUCCAUCAACCUAUCAAAUUUGUUGUGGAGAUCUCCCAAAGAUUCUUCAACAGCCAGCAAGCGAACUGUUGAUGUCUUUGGAGAGAGGACGGUGAUUUCCUCCGCCGCUUCUUGCACACGGUUUUCCCCCGUGGCAGGGUUGUUAACUCUUCGGCCAGCCAUUCCGUCCCAAGAAUCGGGGCUGCUCUGAUACCAAUUUGAUGUAAUUCAAGUUGGAUUGAUUUUUCAAAAGAAUUCUCUGCCAAUAAUGGCUAAGAUAAGGGGUAUUUAUUGAGAAUUUGUAAGUAGUUACAAUUAGUUGAAAUUACUGUUUAUGAAACAGCCUUAACUGUUAAACAGUUUAACUGUUUAAACUGUUUUACUAACUAACUACAGCUGUUUAACCAUAGCUUUAUUCUAUAUUACAUCAUAGGAUGUGGCUGGAUAGUGGUUGAAUUAGAGAUACAUCUAGGGCUUGCAGCUACUAGGUCUAGUGUUUGCGGCAAGGUGGUAAAGGAGGCUAGGGUUUGCAGCUGGAUAGGGACUGAUGGUUGGGCACUGGACAGCAGCUGAGGUCAGAUUGGAAGUCGAUGCAGCUAGGGAAAGCAUAUCGGAGGUUGAUGGACGUUCGCGGCUGGUUGAGGACAGUAGAUCGGCGCAUGGACGGACGUUUGUGGCUGGUUGAGGGCAGUAGAAGAGGUCGAUAACGUGUGUGGUUGAGAAUCUGAGCUGAUCAACGUGCUUUGAAGGUAAAAGAAGAAGUCCAUCACGGCGACGAUUCUCGUGUCCAUGGUGAGUGCAUUGUGGCGGCGACGACGGCACGAAUGUUGGCGACUGUUUUGGUAGUCUCCUCUUUUUGGGUUCCAUUAAGAGUGGUGUCGUAUAGGAUUUUGUCGUUAUCACGAUCUGAUACCAUAUUGAAGGUAAUGACAAAAGAAAUAACACACAAGUUUACGUGGAAACCCUAGAGUAGGGAGAAAAACCACGGUAUUGUUUUCUAUUUUUAUUUUCUAGUAAUCACUAAAGAUGCAAUAGGGGAAAAUAAAAAGACAACAAUAGCUUAUUGUAAACAAAGAAAGAAUAUUAGGGCAAAUCUACGGAUGGGCUUAAAUCCACUAAUUCUAACACAACCAAGCAAACAUGUUUGUGUAAGUAGAUGAAGUAUAUACUUCUUUUGGUUGACAAGAAUGCCACUUUUGAACUUGGAAAUAUUUUAAAGUUCCUAGGUCCUUGAUUUGAAAAUCAUCAGCUAACUUUUUCUUCACAAAAGCCAAUCCUGUCUCAUCAUUGCCUCUAAGAAUGAUAUCAUCAACGUAAACUAUCAAAUUCAUAACCUUAUCAUUUCCUGUUUGUUUAUAGAACGUAGUAUGAUCGGCUUGACUUUGACUAAAUCCAUAUCUCGUGACUAUUUUUUCAAAACUUUCAAACCAGGCUCUAGGAGACUAUUUAAGACUGUACAAUGACUUUUUAACUUGCACACUUUUUUAAUCCCGAGGUCUACCUCAAAACAAGGUGGCAAGUCCAUAGAUACCUCUUCUUGAAGAUCCCCAUUGUGAAAGGCAUUCAUAGCAUAUAGUUGAUAAAGAAGCCAAUCAAAGAUAAAGUUCUUGAGAGGUUCUCCUAGCCAAACUUUGCUCCAAUCAUCAGAAAAGAAGCUUGUUUCAAAUUUUGACUCUCCAUUUAGUGUGAGCAAUGAGGAAGAUGAUCAUUUGAUAAGAUUAGAUGCGAAGGAAGAUCAAUGGUUGAAGGACCCUAUAGAAACUGAUCUAAAUUCUCUCUUCCAGACCGAGGAAGAUUUAAUUUUUGAGAAGCAAGCCUCUAGACGUCCAAAAAGUAUGAAACAUGAAAGGUUGCUAUACCGAAUUUGACCUAGAGAAGUCCUAAAAAAUUUCUCUCUGAGUCCAGGGAGUUUGAUCUCUGAAAACCUGUCUUACUCCUCUGGAGGAGAAUAAUUCGGACAUCCCUACAGGUAAAAGAAGCAUUAAUACAGCAAACUAGUUUAGAAAAAGGAGUUUGCAUUCAAAAUUCUGUGAAAAGGAACCACUAAAACUCUAUAAUUGAAGAAUUACUCUCGGACUCUAACCUAUAGAUAUUGGCUGUGUUGUUUUGUUUGAGGGUAAUCUACAUUUGAAUAAAAUUCCCUCUUUGCUCUACAGCAAGUAAUGUACAUAUGACAUUUAUCUUGGUGCUUUCCAGGGUGACGUAGGAUGUGGGAAGACAAUCGUUGCUUUUCUGGCAUGCAUGGAAGUUAUAGGCACUGGAUAUCAGGUUUAUCUUCUGGAUAUUUUAGAUAUGUUUUAAUACAUUGUUUGAUGUCUUGAACAAAUACUGGUUACUUUAUAAUUUAAAAAUAGUCAUUUCUCAUUUUAGGUAAAUUCUGUGAAAAUCUGAGAUUCCUUGUUAUUAUCUGUAGGCAGCAUUCAUGGUUCCGACUGAGUUACUUGCUAUUCAGCAUUAUGAGCACUUGCUUGGUUUAUUAGAGAACAUGGAAGGGGUCGAGAAUAAACCUUCGGUUGCUUUACUGACAGGUUCUACCUCAUCAAAACAAUCACGGAUGAUUCGCGAGGUCUAUAUUAUCACCUAAUUGUUUUGUAACUUUUUUUUCAUGUUACUCCUGAAUUUGAAAUUUUAAUUUCAGGGUCUGCAAUCAGGAGAGACUUCUUUAGUUAUUGGAACUCAGAGUCUAAUAUCGGAAAAAGUGGAGUUCUCUGCUUUACGCAUUGCAGUUGUGGAUGAGCAGCACCGUUUUGGUGUAGUCCAGAGAGGGAAGUUUGGUAGUAAGGUGGUUGCCUCAUCUGUAGUAACAUAGUGCUUCAUUUUUUACAAAAAUUCAAACAUAUCUAUAACCAUUUUGUCUAAUUGCAAUAGUAGUGGGCAAUUUCAUUUAACAUAUUCGAGAAUUGUCAUUUGACUUCUGUCAAGGAAGUUUUCUGUAUCUUCACGACUGUACCUUCAAAACUGGAGAGUCGGAGACCAAGUAGUUUCAUUCCCUGGAUAUUCAAGGGGUCACUCUUUUGCUAGAAAUCUUCCAAGAGAGACUUGGUCUCUGUGUUUUGCAGUCUCCUCCAUUUUGAGUUCUCACUUUCAUUCUCUUUUGUUUAUUUACAUUAUUUUUCUUCCCUCCAGUUUUUCUCUCUUGUUAUAAAAAAUGUUUCUUCUUGUCCUGUCUAAAAGACUAAUUGGAUUGCUUCAGUUCUGAGACAAUAUCUUCUGGUUGUGCCAAAGACUUUGUGCUUCAUUGGCGGGCCACUCUUGCAAAGAUAGCUAAAAUUCUUUUUCUUCAUGCCAUAUUUAUUGGGAGGAAUGACAGAUCUUUAUUUAAUUUAGUACCUUGAACCGGAUGUCACACUUUUUAUUUUAGAUACUCUCGUUCUAUGCUUAUUACCUAUCGGAAAAGGUUUAUGUAAUCUCCAUUUAGUUUGUUAGGAUUGACAGACUUGAUCUCUCCUCCGUUUCUUUCGUUUUAAUCAUUAAUUGUCUACAAAAUUACUUUUAUAUUGGUUAGAAGCAAAAAUCUAUUAGUGCUACUAGACUUCAAUUAUGUUGGGUAGAAUUUUUUAUUUUAUUUUUCUUACUACUGUCUGCUGCAAAAUGAUUUUGCCUUUUUUUUUUAAUUUUAUUUUUAUUAAAGUCUUAAUUUUUUAAUUUCUUUUUUGUCUUAAUCUUACCAUCCAAAAACUGAUGGUAUGUUAUCACUAUUGACUGUAGUUAUUCAACAACUCUAUAAGUUCGAAAAUUGCGGCAGAGCACGCUGAUGGAACCUCAAGUGGAAAUUUCUCUAUGGCUCCUCAUGUUCUUGCCAUGUCAGCCACUCCUAUUCCAAGGACGCUUGCUCUUGCAUUGUAUGGAGAAAUGUCGCUGACUCAUGUACGUUCAUAAUUUUUUUCAAAUUGACAUCUACUGCUGAUGUAGUUCACAUGAAAAGUAAUUUUCCACAUAACCAAAAGCCAAUAUACAACUGGUUAACAAAUAUAGUAUUACUUUGAGUAAUUUAAAACUUCUACUUAAGGAAGAAGAGUACUAAGGACCUGCUGUCUUUAGUUAAUGAUUGUGGCAUAAUUCUGGUAUAAGGGGUCAGCUUGCUAUUUUCAGAAUUCCAAGUACUCUCCUUCCUCUCAUCUGAAAAGUUUUUGAUUCUGAAGACCACAAUUGUUUAUUUAAAGCCUUGUGGAAGUCAAAUAACCCCGGAGAGUUAAUAUUCUGAUUUGGGUCCCUUAACAGUGCUGAUACUCUGCAAAAGAAGGCUCCCAACAAGUGUUACUGCCCUUGGUUUGUCCUUUGUGCUUGAAGGCCAAUGAGACUAUACUCCAUUUUCUUUUUGUUAUGUCCCUUCUCUUCCUUCUGCUGGAAUAGAUUCUUCUCCAUUUUCAAUAUUGCUUGGGUUUUUAUGGCUCCCUUUGUUCCUCGGUUCUCCCAGUUGGCCCAUCCAUUUUUUAGAAAGAAAGAAUUGGAGCUUCAUUCACCAUUCAAUGUAAGCAGCGAAGAUUUUGAAGGUUCUCCAAUCGUUCAUGAAAUGUUCACACAGGAAGAUAUUAAAGGCACAGACUUUCAGGCUCUAGUCACUUUUUUUGGUUCUAUAAUUGGUUGCACUGGAUUUUGUAUAGAGAAACUUGUGUGGUUUGAAGGUUGCAAUAAAAGAGAUUGGGUUUCAAGUCUCUUAAAACACUUAAUUUAGAACUAGUACUCUCACAAGAAUCAAAGAAGUUGGACUCAAGAACUGUUUCCAACCGGUUGAACAGUUUUUUAGUUUUAGCAGUUUUUGUGGUUUUAUCUUAGUGAAGUUUCAGCAAGGCUGUUCGUUGUCGUCUUGGUGUUCCCUCUUCACUCAUCUCGAAGCUUAGUGUGGGCAUUUUGUCAGCUUACUUUGGAUUCCUUUUGACAUCUGGUGUAAUUAAUUACUUUGUACCUAUUUUACAUUUUAGAUUUCAUCUGUGCUUCAGGAUAGAGGAUUUUGUUUAGCUCGUUGUUAUUGUUGAUUUUGAAUUAGCUAUUGUUUGUAUAUGGUUUGGCCCUUUCUCUCUCUAUAUAACUCUCUUGUACUUUGAGCGUUAGUCUCUCUUAUUAUUAUUAUUAUUAUUAUUGUUAAUAAAGAGGCUCGUCUCUAUUUCAAAAAAAUAAAUAAGGAAAAAAUAUAGACAUAAAAUUAAUAAUACAAGAGAAAAGUAAAUUCAACACCAACGUUACCACUGAGUCAAAAUUUAUGGACUUGCCACUUGGUUUUAAAUUUUUCGCUGCCACUAUCAUCUAUAAAGGCAAUAAAUGAGUGUGGUCAUCUAUAAAGGUAACAAACAUAUUCUAGACACGAUUACCAAAUAUUAGGGCUAUAAACAAAGGAAAGUAAAGUCUUGAAACAAAAGCACUCAGCUCCUGAAAGAAGGAAAAAAAAGAAAGCAGAAAGAUAGGUAACUCCUCAAGGUGAAGCCUUUCAGCUAGGGAAAAUAAAUCUCUUUUGGAUAUUGUGAAACAGUGAGCUCAGAGUUGAAAUUUGGUUCGUGAGAUGAAAGGAUUGCAACAUGACCAGAAAUAUUGAUCCAUUGAUUUUGUGGUUUUUGUUUAUUCUGUUAGCCCUUAGGCACGCCUGUUUCUUUGUAUAUUAGUUGUUCCUUUAAUUGUUGACAGAAGUGAUCCAUUGAUACCUACAGAUUACUGAUUUGCCUCCUGGACGGGUACCAGUCAAAACAUAUUCAAUUGUGGGUAACGAUGAAGGCUUUGAGAAAGUUUAUGAGGUCUUUUCUUGUCCCUACAUUUGAGACUUGCAUUUCUUAAAAUUAAUUUGUCAUGUAUGUUUGAACCUUUAAAAUUUUCAUAAAUUGCCUUUUGUUAGAAAUGGAAACAAGAUUGCUAGUUGAAACAUACUUGAAUGUAAAUUGGUGGAAACAUGAUUUUUUAUCUUACUUAUUUAAUGAAUUAGAUGCUUCUAUUUUAUGUGGAAGUAUUAUCAAUCUUUUGUUUUUUUGUAUAUUAUUCUCUCUGGAAGAGAGGCUUUUCUUUAUUUAUUUUGGAUACUCAUCUUCUUGUUUGAUGAAAAUGAUUUACAUGAUGAUAGAUGAUGCUGGAUGAGUUAGAUAAAGGAGGGAAGGUGUAUCUUGUAUAUCCAGUGAUUGAGCAAUCUGAUCAACUGCCUCAGCUUCGUGCUGCUUCAGAAGAUCUUCAAUCCAUUUCUUACAGGUUUCAGGGCUAUAACUGUGGGUUGUUGCACGGGAAAAUGAAGAAAGAUGAAAAAGAGGAAGCGUUACGGAGAUUUCGAAACGGAGAUACGCAGAUACUACUUUCUACACAAGUGAUCGAGGUUGGAGUGGAUGUUCCUGAUGCAUCAAUGAUGGUUGUUAUGAAUGCUGAGAGGUUUGGAAUUGCUCAGCUCCAUCAAUUAAGAGGACGAGUUGGACGUGGAAUGAAGAAGUCUAGGUGCAUCUUGGUGGCAUCUACUACAAGCAGCUUAAGUCGGUUGAAGGUGUUGGAGAAUUCAUCUGAUGGUUUUCAUUUGGCAGAAGUUGAUCUUCUUUUACGUGGGCCUGGUGAUUUGCUUGGUAAAAAGCAGUCAGGACAUCUUCCAGAAUUUCCAAUUGCAAGAUUGGAGGUAGAUGGGAAUAUUUUGGAAGAUGCACAUCUUGCCGCUUUGGUAAGUUUUCCUUUAGCUCCAUUUUUUAUUUGCAUGAAUGAUCAAGCAUAUUAAACAAACUCUAUUUCUAGCUCUGAAUUAUGUACCAUAUGAGAAGAAAAAAAUUUGGUCAAAUUAUGAGUGUGGUCGUUGCAAUUAUCAUGAUUGUGUUUGUGUAGUAGUCGUGUUAUAAAAGUUUCUGAUAGGAUUUUGAUUUUUUAGAGUUGUGUCUAUUUAGUCCUUAUGGUUUUAAAAAGUUUUUGACAAGUUUUUGACCUUUAAAUUUUGCGUGUAAUAAGCUUCAAUUGUUUACUUUGUUGAUUUAAUGUUGAUGUUUAGGAAUAAGGUAUUAUGGUCAAAUCCUUAAUCUAUUAGGAUUAGGAUUAGAAUCUUUUAUUAAUUAUUAUAAGGAUUAGUUUCCUUCAUUUACUAGGAUUAGGAUUAGUUUCUUUUAUUAAUUAAGAUUAUGAAUUGUUUGUUUUUGAAAGUACCUGUCUUCUCGUAUUCAUAACUUUUAAACAUUAACAAAAUUCAUUCUCAUAUUUGGUGUGCAUCAUGUGUACCUAAUUUUAAGAGGUUUAUAAUGGGUCACUGUACUUCUAAUCUUUUCUGCACUAAAAUUCUUGUUAACGUCAUUAAUGAAAUGCAUAUAGUAUUAAUGUCAAAGCUUACCCCAACUCGACCACCAUAUAAUCUUUCAACAAUGUGAUUAGUAUACUACAUAAGUAUUCAAUUGGUAAGGUUAACGUUAGAGACCUAUUAAGCACAAAAUCAAAAGUCAAGACUUAUUAAAAACAUUUUGAACUAUAUGGAAAUAGAUCUAUUAGAUACUGUUGGAUUUCUUAUUAUUUAGUCAUAUUUAUGUAUAGAUAUUCUUUGUUAACAUUGUCCUUUUGUGUUUUUCUCUUUUCUUUUGUGUAAUGAGUCUCUUCUGUAUCAGAGGUCCUAUGUUGCAUAUCUGAAUUAUGAAUAAAAGAUUAAUAUUUCAUUUUAAAAUCCUUCUGUAAGUUAAGAUUUGGAGACCUGUUAAAAGCUUUUCAAAGUAGAGAGAUUAAGCAGUCUUAACCUUAAGAGUUUAUUACAAGACUUUCAAUACCCACUUAAAUUUUGCAUGUGUACAUACAUACACAUAUAUAUAGAUAUAUAUUUAACGUUUGAUAUCUCCCUUGGGAUCACAUUGGUUCAGAAGUAAACUCAGAUAGCGAUUUGCUCUCACAUGCAGAAAAUUUUAAGCAUUUCUCAUGAUUUGGAGCAGUUUCCUGCCCUGAAGAUGGAGCUUAGCAUGAGGCAGCCACUUUGUCUACUUGGUGAUUAGGUUUCUUCCAUAUUUUAAACUUGAACUCAAUAUGUAUUUGCAUUUGUACAGAUAGUGUAGUCAGUUUUUAUCCAAGCAUCAGUAAAUAUUUUGAUGCAUUUACCAUUAUUGAUCAAUCAUUUUAGCGAUGUGAAUACAAUUUUAGGUUAAAAUACAAUCUUUGAUUUUGUAUUUUGAGAUUUGUUUAAUUUUAGUUGAUAUACGUUAAAAUAUUCAACUUUAAUCUUGGUAUUUUUAAUACGUUUAAUCUAGAAGUAUAGUAGAUUUAAGAUUUGUAAUAAAAAUACAAGACCAAAAGUGAACAUUCUUAUGUACGACUAAAAUCGAAUUAGAUAGAGAAAACCAUCCUGAGUCAGUUUUGUGGUAAAUAGGUGGACUUGACCUUGAUAAAGAGCCAAGAAGGCAUGUGAAUAUAUGAUUGUUACAUAUGUAGGACUUAAUAUCUUAACACCUAAGAAAAGGUUAGGGUAAGGGAUGAAAUAGUAAAGAGUAAAGAGUUGUGAAGUUGUGAAUGCAUGAGGCCCACCCUGCAAAGAGUUAAUAAAAAUGUAAGUUUGAUGUUAUUUUUAAAACUUUUAGGCCAAACAAGGAGUAGAGUACAUAACUCUCUACUUGUAUGUUUUUGCUUUCAAACUCUUUGGAUGAAACAUUAACAUAGCAUAAAUGUUUCAGAGUUAGGUUGGUUGUUUCGUGAAAUUGAAUAAAAUGCGUGUAAAUUGGUUUAGACACUCAUAAAUAAUAAAAAAAUUAAAGAUAAAAGAUAAAAUGAUAUUUAAACUAUAAGUAGAAUAGAUAAAUGCUUUUACACGUUUCAAGGGAUUGGUUGAUGAACCCAUUUCCUAGAACUUGCAAAAUAGUAACUGCACAUACCAAUGUCUUGUAAAACUUCUAGAACGCUUCAAGUAAGAAUGAUGUUGUAGAAGGGGUUGACGUUGUGGUUCGCGAUGUUAUUCCAAUGCUGUGUCGUAAGAGGAUGCCAUUCACAACGCGAUGCCUACAUUGAGAAAAGUUUCACUAGUUUUUUUUUUAAUUUUUAUAAUCAAAUUUGAUUUAAUUUAAUUGAAAUUGUAAAACAGGUAACAUAAAAUUAAUAAAAUGUCAAAGCAAAUAUAUAUUAAAAUUAAUUAAAAUAUAAAAAUAAAACAUACGUUUCGUUUGAAGAAUGAAUCAAUAAAUCUCAACUAAAAACAAAACGAGAAAAAACUAAUCAAAGAGAUACAUAUAUACAUAGUAGUCCUCCCAUGUCUUCCAACCUAUGAUGACAUGAAAUUAAAGUAUAAAUAUAUAUCUCAUCCAAAAAAAAAUGAAAGAAUGUAAAAGUUCGAAAUUACUUACAUUAAAUGAAGAAACCAAGGUUCUCUGGCUGACUGAUCAAUGAGUUUCGCAAUCAUCUUCAUCAUUUCCAUUAUUUUCUAUUCCCUUUUCUUGUGUUGCAGUCUAUUUUGUUCUUCUACUUCCCCAAGACGAGUUGUUAGCACGUCAACCCGCUUAACGUGCAUAUCUCGCUCGUGGACUAAUGUAACUGAGAAAGAAUUGCCAGCAGCGUGUCUGGACUUUGGCCUAGGGUCCUAACUAAGACCCUUUGAGUAGUCUGUUCAUCUACGCAAUACUGUCUUGCAUAUCUCUACAUCAGAUAGUGGUUGAGAACCCUCUGCAGUGGGCUGAGACUGGAUGACCAUCAUUUGAUUCUGCAAUAAAAUUUUGAUUGAAAGUUAUAAAACACGUGUAAAUAAAAUGUAUGUACAAAAUGAAGACAAAAAGCAUAAUAGAAACUUACAUGACCCUCUGCAGCUGCUGGCGAAAUAAACUGGCCAUCCUGAACGUGCGUUUCCUUGAACAACUCCACUCGAUCGAUUGGAUGAGCCCGUCGUUCAAUGAGCUUAUGCACUCAUUGUAUAAACAACUUGGCGCCACUAUUGUGACUACAGGGCUGCUUCGCUCUAGCAGCCCUAUUCAUCGAUGAUUGCGUCUACAUGCAAACAAUAUCAAAAUGUUACAUAAAAAAUGAAUUAUUGUUUGAGAACAUUAAUAAGUUCUAAAUCACUUGAAAUUGUCGGGUAAGAUAGUGGUCGCAUAAGAAGUGUCAACCUUCUACACGAUUCUUCAAUUUGGGUGGUGGGUUGGCACAUGCCUAUUUAGGAUCGUUGAACUUCUUGAAAUGAUGAUGAUUUUGCCCCCUGAACUCCUUCCAGGUGGUGAGCAUCUGAUGCUCAACAAACCAAUUAAGUAUUAGAUUUGUGAAAUCCAGUUGAAAAAUUGCUCCAAAAGUACAAACGGAUUAAAAUUCUAUAUAUAUACGUGGUAGGUAUAAUUAACAUAUAUGUAUGUGUGAUUGUAAAACUUACCUGUAAAGAGCCCUUCACGAGCUCGAUAUAAUCUAGCACAACAUCAGUCCACAUAAGAAAGUGAUCUAGAAAAGUAUUAUGCGUUAUCACUCUGGUGGUAUAGCUAAAGCAAAGGACGUGUGGGAAGAUUGACUUAUCCUGUCUUGGGCGAUUGAUAUGGGGAUCUUUCUAUUUUGUGGAACAUAUCGCUCCAACUCCAGGUUCCUCAAGUGUUCACGUCUCCUAAGCAUGUAAGCUGUUGUAGGCCCUCUACGAAAGCAUAAUAAUUUUAUAAAUUAAACUCCACACUUAUGCAAUUAAUUAUUUAUGUCACGAUGACUAACCUAAUGUGUCGCCCACCGACGACGAAAGUCCUAUGUUAUUAAACUCUACGACAUUAAAGUAAAAAGAUCAUCAUUCUCAUCCACAUCGAGAGGAAAAUUAGACAUAGUAAGAUCAUCAUUCUCAUCCACAUCGAGAGGAAAAUUAGACAUAGUAGUACCUGAUGACAAUAAACCAAGAAAUUGAUUAAACAUAUGAGAGUAUUUGAAACUUAUUAUCUAAAAAACAAAAUAUAUGUCAGUACGUGAUUCAUCAUUGUUAUUAUUCGCCAUCGCUUGAUCUGCUUUGAAUAGAUAAUUUUUCAUCAUCAUUAUUAAUGAAGUCAUCUACGACAUGACACACAAUUGGACUUUCCACGAUUGUAGGGUCAAUGUCGCAUAUGCACAAGGUGUCAUCCUCAAUGUGAUCACUCACACAAUGUCUGACAACUUCAAGUACAUUUAGUUGUCGAUCCUCGACAUCUUCCACUUCGAGUACAUCUCAUAUACAUUUAUUUUAGAUCACCUGAACAACCUUCCAAGGUGGCAAGUUGUAAAGAAUUAACAUCACAUGUCAUAUACUAUAGGCGGUACUCAUAUUCCGAAAUGGAUUGAAUCCAUCAGAAGUUAAUCACAAACGAACGUUUCGUGGAUUUGAAGCAAACUCAAGAAAUUUAGAACCAAAAUGCUUCCAUCCCUCUGCAUCAGUUGGAUGUCUCAACACGUCCUCUAUUUAGACUCGUUUAUCCUUAUGUCAUCUCAUUUUAUACAAGCGCUCUUGCGAUACAAACAUAAUCUUUGUAAUCUUGGUAUCAACUGAAAGUGCCACGAUACCUUGUGUGAAAUUGUUUUCCCUCUGUUAGGACGAACUUUGUUCCAAGACUCACCACAAACUAGACAGUGUUGCAAAUCGACAAAUUUCUUCAAGUACAAUACACAGUCGUACUUAUAGGCAUGAAGAAUCACAUAUCUCAAGCUCAAAUCAUGAAAUUUUUAUUUUUCCUCGUAGAAUGAGCUAGGGACAUUGGUACCACACUACGAGAACUUUCACAUGCAUCAUCGUAACCAAAAAGUUAAGAGAUGAAAAUUAUGAACAGCCAGAGUAUAACUCACGACAUGCUUAGUUUAAUAACUCCUAAAAUAUAUUUGUCGUCUCCUCUUCUACACCACUAUUUAGUGACACAUCAUUCUCCAAACAUUCCUAAGAAUAACAAUUUUAAUUUAAAAUUUAUAAUAAACAUAAAAACAACAUACAAUUAUUUGUAAUAAAAAUACAUACGAUAUACAAUUAUUUAUAAUAAAAAUACAUACGAUAUACAGUUAUUUAUAAUAAAAAUACAUACCAUAUACAAUUAUUUAUAAUAAAAAUACAUACCAUAUACAAUUUACAAUUUAUAACAGAAGUACAAUAUACAAUUUUUAUUUAAACAAUCUACCGAUAAACAUAUAUACAAUCACAAUUUCAAUUUCAAUAUACAUAUACAUAAUAUACAUACAUACAUCCUUCCAAUAUACACAUACAAUUUACAAAUAUACACCUAUACAUAUACAAUUUACAAUUUACACAUACAUUGUCACACCCCAAGCCAUAUACUAUCUACGAAAAUGUUGAAGUAGUAGCAAUAGGAUGUCAGUUUGUUAUAACUAUGAAAUUUUCUUAUCGCAAAAUAUUAUUCUCAACUCAUUUUAUACUAUUAGCAAAACUUAAAACGCAAUGAUGGUCAACCUAAACGCAAGUAUAAUAAAUACCUACCAAAAGAUUUAUUAAUAACAGGCGUUUGUUACACAAUUACAACACUUUAACCAAACAACCAAUGCUUAACUAUUUCCAAAAUGUUUGGAGUCAUCUCGCUGCAAAUCCUUCAACCUUCAUCUCUAGUUGACCUAAACGUCUGAUUCUGGAAGAUGAAUUUUUGAAAGAAUGCCUAAAAGACUGAGGUUUUAUGAAAUCUUUUUCGCAAUACCUUUUCAUAAACAUCAUUCCGCAUAAAUAACAUCAAAUAAUUUCAUCUCGCAUAAAUCUUUCUUUAUGCUUAACAUAUUCAUAACACAACAAUUUCACAUAAACGCACAUUCGUUAACAUUCAUUCCUUUCGCCAAGUAUCUUGAAUCAUUCUCUACGCUUGGUUUCAUUACCUCGCGUUUGACUACUGUAUCAACAACAUACGAGAACAUACAAAUUCGUCCUUGUUGCUCAGGUCGCUAAGCUUUAUACAUUCCAUUCAAUGCAUAACUCAGCUUCUUAUCACCAUGUGGUCCGUACACCCUAGGGCGGCCUUGACUCUUUAUGUGCACAUAGCAGUUAGCAUCAUCUCAAGGAAUCAACUAAUGGUUUUGAAAACCAUUUCAUAGCACGAAAAUCGUAAUCAUUAAAUCAAGCUGUAACACUUUCUCAUUUGAAACACUUUUACAGCUUCUUUUUUAAACACUUUCUCAUUUGAAAUUAUCUUUCAAAAUAGUAAAGCGGAACUACGAAACAUUUAAGAAGAAAACCACUCACUACACUUUAACAAAAAAUCUCCUCUUCCUUCUCUUCUUGUAGAGAGGAAAGAGACAUUUUUUUAAUCUUACAUGUUAACUCGUGUGGAAUUAGAUUUGACAUUUUCUUAAUCAGAUCUUACUUCUCGCCUAACCUCAUACCACAAAUAACUUUAACCACAACACUUUUCGCGAAUAACCUUAUCACAUAGGUAUAUUUUUACAAGAAACUUUUCUCGCAAACUAACCAACUUUUACUCGUUUAGAACAGUUAUCGCAAAUUUAAACUUCAAGGCUUCUUCGUAGAUUUCUUCAUCGUGAAACUCAUGGUUCUUAUCGCGAAGACUACCCAAACAGCUAGUCAUUUUAAAGCUUGCAAACUUUCUUCUGAUAGCAUUUAUACUUAUAGAUUCUACUGAAAAUCCUUCUUUUCUCAAGAAUACCUUGCAAAUUAACUUCUUAAUUGCAAAAUUUAUAGUAACAAUAAAAGAUUUUAUCGCUUAAUUCUUUCUACGCAUAUAUUCAAAGGCCAAUUUCUAUAGUAGUUUUAGUCGAAAUUUUACUUACUAUACUCGAAUUAAAAACAGGUCUCACAAUUCUUCCCCUCUUAAGAAAUUUCGGCCUCGAAAUUUAAACAGCAAGAAAAUAACACAAAACAAAUUAAUUUUUUGUUACUUCAACUUUCAGAAUUACAACCUUAUAACAAUAAAAUUUUAGAUUUCUUUUUCUUCUGACUUUCUCUUUCUCCUUUCUCGCCUAAGUGAGAACUUGAUCUUUUUAAGCCCAAACUCUUUUUCAGUCACAGGGUUGCGUCCACCAAUUGUGUGUUGUCACUCCUUACUUAAAAUUGGCACAAUAGGUGUCCUAAUCUCCUCUUGCAAACUGUUUACAAAACGACUGCAUCUUUCUCCCUUAUCUACGAUUAAUAUAAAGGCAUAUUUCGUCAAUUCUGUGAAUUUCCUCUCACAUUCAGCAACUGAGAGUCUUCUCUGUUCCAAAUAGAGGAACUCAUCUCUCUUUUAUUCUAUAUAUGAAACUGGAAAAUAUAUGCCAUUAAAUAUUCCCUUGAAUUCUUCCUAAGUCACCUUUUCUCGUCGGAAAAUAUAUGCCAUUAAAUAUUCCCUUGAAUUCUUCCUAAGUCACCUUUUCUCGUCUACUUUCUUAUAAGACCCACUAGUUUUCGGCCUCUUCUUAAAAAUAAAAUGCAGCUAGAUCCACCCUUCUUUCUUUCAGACACUGCAUAACAUGAAAGCACUUCUCCAACGUUUGUAACCAUUUUUCAGCUUCUUUCGGUUUAGUUGUUCGACCAAACUCAGUGGCUCAUAACACUUUUAACCUUUAUAUUCCAAAAUUUCAUUCAGGUAGUGGCAAUAAAACGACAGGAUUUACAUAAUAAGCUUCUGAAUUCAUCAUUAUUACAAAUCAUCCAACAAAUACUCAACUUUUAGCUCACUCUACUCGAAUUUAUUCUUUUCCGAAGAACGUAUCGCCUUGAUAUCAAAUUGUCACACUCCAAACCGUACUAUCAACGAAAAUGCCAAAAUAGUAGAAAUAGGAUGUGAGUUUUUUACAACUUUGAAAUUUUUUUAUCGCAAAAUAUUAUACUCAACCCCUUUUAUGCUAUCAACAAAACUUAAGACACAAAGGUGGUCGACCUAAACACCAAGUAUAAUAAAAUACCUAUCAAGACGUUUAUUAAUAACAUACAUUUGAUACAAAAUUACAACACUUUGACCAAACAACAAAUACUUAACUAUUUCCAAAACAUCUAGAGUCUUCUUGCUGCAAAUCCUUCAAUCCUCUUCUCUACUUGGUCUAAAUGCCUGAUCCUGGAAAAUGAAUUUUUGAAAGAAUGCCUAAAAGGCUGAGGUUUUAUGAAAUCCUUUUUGCAAUAUCUUUGCAUAAACAUUAUUUCGCAUAAGUAACAUCAAAUAAUUUCAUCUCACAUAAACCUUUAUUUAUGCUUAACAUAUUCAUAACGUAACAAUUUCACAUAAACACACAUUGGUUAACAUUUAUUCCUUUCGUCAAGGAUUCCGAAUCGUUCUCUCACUUGGUCUCAUUUCAAGGAAUCAAUUAAUGGUUUGAAAACCAUUUCAUAGCAUGGAAAUCGUAAUCAUCAAAUCAAGCUUUAACACUUUCUCAUUUGAAACACUUUUACAAUUUCUUUUUGAAACACUUUCUCAUUUGAAAUAAUCUUUCAAAGUAGUAAAGCGAAACCACAAAACAUUUUAGAAGAAAAUCACUCACCACACUUUAACAAAAAUCCACUCUUCCUUCUCUUCUUGUGGAGAGGGAUGAGACAUUUUUUUAAUCUUACACGUUAACCAUUGUGGAAUGAGAUUUGACAUUUUGUUUACGAGGCUUUACAUCUCGCCUAACCCCAUACUGCAAAUAACUUUAACCACAACACUUUUCGUGAAUAGCCUUAUCGCGUAGUUAUAUUUUUACAAGAAACCUUCCUUGCGAAUUAACCAACUUUUACUCGCUUAGAACACUUAUCUUGAAUUUAAACUUUAAGGCUUCCUUGCAGACUUUUUCAUUGCUAAACUCUUGGUUCUUAUCGCGAAGAUUACCCAAACGCCUCGUUGUUUUAAAACUUACGAACUUUCUUCUAAGAGCAUUUAGACUUAUAGGUUUUAUUGCAAACCUUUCUUUUCUUAAAACUACCUUGCAAAUUAACUUCAUAAUCGCAAAACGUAUUCUAACAAUAAAAUAUUUUAUCGUUUAAUCCUUUCUGCGCAUAUAUUCAAAAACCAAUUUCUAUAGUAGUUUUAGCCAUGCAAAAUUUUACUUUCUAUACUUGAAUUAAAAAUAGGUCUCACAUACAUAAUGCACAUAUUAUUAAUAUAGCAUAAACAUACAAACUCUAAACCCUAAACCCUAAACAUACAAUAUACACACAUUAAUACACAAUCCUUAAGCCCUAAACAUACAUACAAUUUACAAUAUACAUAUGCAUACAAUAUUAACACAAUUCCUAAACCUUAAACAUAAAAUAUACAUACAUUAACACACAUACAAUAUCUAACAUACAAAAUGACAUUUUUUACCGGUAAAAGGUCGGUGGGCGGUGACAGACAACGAUGGUAGCGACAGACGAAACAAUGUUAACGGACAAUGACGACUCAAUUUCAUCUUCCUCCUUCGUUUUUUCUUCUUCUUAGCCUUCUGUGUUCAAAUAAACACAAUUAAAAGAACCAGGAUUCUCGCGAUGCAAAACGAAUACGUUGCCAGCACAAGCUUCUAACGACGCAACCACUUAUGGCAUUGUUACAAGCCACCUAAUGCUGAUGUUGCCACUUAUGACAUCAAUAUUACCUUUUCCAAAUCAAUCAAAACGUCGUUUGUCAUAAUGGCUUAAAAGUUGAACAUUUGCUGACGUGGUCAACGACGUCGCCGUUAACGUCACGAUAGAUCUUCCAUUUUAAUAAUAUAUUAGGGAUUCACCGACGCGUCCUCAUAGAUGUCAUCGUUGGGGGGGGGGGGGGGGGGGGGGACGACGACGUGCUCUUGCAUUGUGUCGCAAACUAAAAUAAUAUUUUUAAUAAUAACCUUUCACGAUGUCGUCAUGCAUGGAGUCGUCGUUUCCCCUACUGCCGACACCGUUUCCUAUGUUAGGAGAACCCCAAAUUCUUAUAGUGUUACUAAUAUACUGAUAUGCUUUAAUAAUAUAUUGUUGAUAUACUUAAUAAUGAUACAUUGAGUUACAUUCAUUCAUACACUUAAUAAGGAACUGCAUAAAAUUGGAAAAAAUGAAAAUCACGUAGUAAGUUUAUCAAACCAAAUAAUGCAUAUAAUAUAAGUUCAUCACAACACAGAUGUACAAAACUUAUACAAAGUAAAACCAAAACAAAACCAAUGUUAAAAAAAUAAAACAAAAUCAUUUGAAAUCUAAUUCAACUCAAAAUACACAUCGAAGAAAGUAAUGAAAAAUAAAAAAUGAACUUAAAUUAUUCUGAUCAACAACCAUUAUAUUUCAUAUUGCAAUUAAUGUACUAUUUGAUACCCUAAAAUCAAGACUAAGACAGGAAGAACAAAUCAUUUUUUUCGGAUAAAAAGGAAUGAUUAGGGCCUUAAAAAGUGAGAAAAGAAAUAAGGGAUGAUUAGGGUAUUAAAAAGAGGAGAAGAAAUAAAAUAUUGAAGAGUAGUUUGAGAAUAAUAACAAAUUUAAGAUGGAGAGUAUUUUAAAGAGUGAAUAUUUUAUUAUAUUUACGAAAUGGUAAAACAAUCCGUUAUAUUUGUUAUACUCUAUACUCAAAAGACUACUUAACUACAAUUUUUCAUUUUUUAAACAAGUUUUGGGUAAUUUUGGAAUGGAACAAUGAUGGUUUCUAUUGGAAACACUUUUUUUUAACUAUUUAGAAUUUGAGAAUAUUCUUGAAAAUUUAAAGUUAAGAGAUAUUUUUGAGAAAAAGUGGAAAAUUAAAAAAAUAGCUUUUUAAUAUAAUUUAGCCUAUAAUGAACCUAUGUCAAAACAAAUUGUUUAGGGUGUUCUCAAACCUUCUAUUUUUGUACAAAUUAAAUAGGGCAGAGUCACACUAAGAACAAUCUAAUCAAAUAUAAAUAGUUUUGGCUAAUUUGAUAAUUUGUUUUCCUCUAGUUUAGAAACAUAAUCGUAAGCAUUGAUUAUCAUAGCUUGAUGCUCCGAUUUGGCACCUAGUAAUUGUAAAAUUGAAAAAAACGAGCCAAACAAACUCAUUUUUAAAUUUAUUAUUUUAAGAGAUUAACUUAAAAUAGGAACUAUACUUUUAAUCUAGUUCACUUGUCAUUGUUACUGUCCAUGCAAUAGUUAAUUACUUUCUAAAAGAAUACAAUUAUUAAGCCAUCUCCAAUAAUCUCACUACCUCGCACCAAGUAAGUCUUAUCGAAUUUUGUUCUCUUUACAAUAAAGUCUUGUGGCAUUCAACUUUUUGUUGAUGCAUUCAAAAGCUUUUGAAAAUGCCUUGUCCAACAAUAUUUUGCAAUUGCCAUAUUAACCAUUUGCAAGUAACAAUGGUAGAAAUUUCAAAGAUAAUCCUUGAGGAUGUGUUGUCUCUAGAUAUGAUUUUUGGAUUUGACAACUUGUUGGUGGACAAAAACAAGUGGCCCACUAUGGUUGCUACUUGAGACCCUUUUGGAAUACAAGCGUGUGAAACUAUAGGCUUGUAAAUAGUGCACUACCAUUUAAUGAGCUCAUGUUGUAUGACUUAUUAGCCAACUCAAGAUAUGUAUUGGAUUUGAAUAUUUCACUCCAAGUCUCCCUCAAAACCAUUGACUGUUUCCAUUGGAUAUGAUAUGUGAUACAAAAAUGAAUAAUGACUACUAAUGUCAAGCACAUUUAGUGCACCACUAGACAAAAAAAUUGGAUGUGAGAGUAAAACUACGAUAGCGAGGGAAAGAACGUAGACUAUAUAUUAACACAUGCGAUAUGAAUCUACAACAAACUUUUUUUUUUUUGCUACAUAAAAUAAAUUUUAAAAAACAUUGAGCAAAUGUCAAUAACUUUAGCAAAAAAGUUGGUUGUUUUAACCUAAAGUUUGGUACAACAUGUAUAGGUAUCAUAUUUGAAUCGUGAUGGUUAAAUUAAUUAUGAUUAUAAAUGUUCGAAAAUUUCUUUAAACACUGUUUGAAAUUUAAACUUGUACAUGUAUUUGAAAAUCAAUGUACUAAUAUAAGUAGUGUUCAAUUAGUUGAGCGAGACAGUUCUUUGUUUUAUUUUUGUUUUAUUCUCCAAAUACAUAUUGCAUCACUUAUACUUUAGGAAAUUUUAGUAGGUACCUAUAUGAGUUUGAGGAUUUACAAGUUUGUCACACAUUCUUUUCAUUUUACAAAUAUGGCAAAAUAACAAAUCUACCUCAAGUGUGAUACACUUGAUAUACUCGACAUACAUAUGAUACAAUUGAUACGUCUAAUAUACACCUGAUAUAUCAUUAAUACAUAUAUACAUAAAUGUUGAAAAUGACAAAAUACUAAAGGGUUUUAAUUGAAUAACAAUUAGUUAAAUAUUUCUAAUGACGUUUGAAUAAAUAAAACAAACGAAAAUUUUGUAAAUAACUUGAUCUUUGUCAACUUUUUAGGAAAAAAAAAUAUGAAAUACUUUUUUAGGAGUCGUUUGAGCCAAGGAGUGAGUUAUUAUAGUUUAGUUAUGAUAGUUUGAAUUUAGGGUGGUAAAUAUUUUAUGUUUGCCUUAUAGUAGUAUGUGUCUGUGAUUUAUAUUUUAUAGUAAAUAUAUAUUUUUUAUUCUCAAUUAUUUAACAAACGUAUGUAUUUGGUAUAUCAAACGUAUUUGGUAUUUGGUAUAUCAAACGUAUAUGAAAUAUAUCAAUUGUGCAUCAAAUGUGUACCAAGUGUAUAUCAAGUGUACUCAUGUAUGGUGUAACGCCUCAAAAAUUAAAAUGACUUUUUAAGAUAAUUAUCUUAGUUUUGUUUAACUUGUUGGGCGUUAUUUGAUUUCGUUCAAAGAAAAUUAUUUGGUCUUGUGAAAAUUAAAACUUAUUAAAUAAUUUGGAUGUUAUUUAAUUAAAUUGAAUAGUGAAAAUUUCGUUGAAGAUUUGAUAAAUAUAUGGAUAUAUGGAUAUAUAUAUAAUUAUUAUAGAAAAUGAAAAGAUAAUUAUAUUUGUUAAAAUAUAAUUAUUUAAGAGAAAAAUGUUGUAUUUUGUAGAGAAGACAGAUGAAUUAUUUGUGGGAGAAUAAUUAUUUGGAGAGAGGAUAUUUGUUUAGAAAAGGAAAAAGAAAAUAAUUAUAUUUUGAAAAAAAUAUAAUUGUUUGUAAAAGUAUAAUUAUUUUGGUAAAAGAAUAAAGUUAGUUGAAUUUGAUGAGAUGUAAUGAAAAAGGUGGAUUUAAUUUUUGGAAAGGAUAAUUAUUUUGGAAAGGUAAAAGUUGAUUUGAUGGAAGAUUUAAUUGAAGAAAGAGAUGAUGAAUUUUAUUUAGUUGAAAAAGUGAAGUUAAUUAUAUGAUGAAAUAUAAUUACCCGAAAAUAAGACCAUUAAUUAGGAGAGAUGAUUGAUUUGAUUGGACAAAAAAAUAUUAUGAAUUUAAUUAAGAGAGAAUAAUGAUUUAAAUAAAUAUAUAUGUUUAUUAUAUAUUUUGGCGAGAGAAUAAUAAUAAUAGUAAAUUAUUAUUAUUAUUAUUAUUAAUUGUUAUGAAUGCAUAUUUGGUAAGGAAAAGGAAACGGUAAAGAUUGAGGAAAUCUGACGAACGACAUGAAGAAUUUGUGAUAUGUCAUAUGGAGACAUAGUUUUGUUAUCGUUUUUCAUUGUUCGUUUUAAGUGUUUUGAGUUGAAAUAUUUUUUUAUCUAUUUUUUUAUUAUCUUUAAAAUUUGUAAAACCUGUUGCAGCAUGUUUUCAUGGUAUUUUUAAUGAAAAUUUAGUUUUUCUUUUUUUAAUAAAUUGUCAAAAUAGUUAUUUAUCUUUAAAGUAAUGACCGUGUAACUUAGUAUAAAAAGUUGAGUCGUUACAUGUAGCAAAUGCAUAUAUCAACUAUAUAUCAAGUAGGCGUGCAAAUGAGUUGGAUUAGGGGACAUUCCCAUAUAUAGGUUGGUUGGGUUGGCAACCCGAAUAGUAUUCUCAACCCAACUCUUAAAAUAUGGAUUGAGUUGUCAGUUUGUAUUCUUUUUUCUCAUUCCUAAUGAAUAAUCACUAACAUUUGAAUGUCAGAGACUAAGAAGGAGACAAUGACCAUUGGAGAUGAGAGGGAGAGAGUGAGUUAGAGAGAUAAUGAGACACAACGUGAAGACUAAAGUUGAGCAAAGUGAGGAUGAAUCGUGAGUCCACGACCUACUUUUUUUUCAUUUACUAAAUUAAUAGUAUAAAUAUAAAUAUAUAAACAUAAAUAAAUAAUAAAUAUAUAAUUAAUUCGAGUUGUGUUAGGUUGAACCUGAUUUUUCAACCCCUAACUCAAGAUCCAACCCAAAAAAAAAAAAAAAACAAAACAACCAAACCCAAUCCAAGUUUUAAACUAACCCAACUCACCCCAACUCUUAUAAUAUGGGUUGGAGUUGGGUAGUCCAAUUUAUUUGGAUUGUCAGAUUGCUCUUACAACCCUACUAUCAGGUAUAUCAAUUGUCUAUUAUGAGGGUAUCAACAAAGUGUAUAUUACAAAUGUAUGAACUGUAUGAAAGUGGAUAUGAGUAGCGUAUCAAAUGUAUAUUAGUAGUGCAUGGAGUGUAUCAAGUAUGUAUAUAUAUAUCAGUGGGGUAUCAAGGUAUAACAGGUGUAUCAUGUGCGUUGGACUUUUUUUUUCCUGAUUGUAAAACUACAUAUGUGAUUUGUGCUAUAGACUUCAAAAUUUUAAACUCAUAGUACUAUACAUGCUUCUACUUUUGUACAUCUAAUGGAACAGGAAAAUUACACAAAUUAGAAAAUAAAUAUAAUCAAUAGCACAAGGGAACCAAAUUUUCAAAAAGAGAAAUUUUUUACUAGUCAUAUGGUAAUUUUUUUAAAAUGCCAAUUUUGCCAUUUAGUUUCAUUCCUCUUAUGCUUUCAGUGAUGACUUUUAUCAUUGAUAUUAUACUAUCAGUGAUGACUUCUAUUAAUGAUAUCAUGUCUAAUAUUCAAUAUGUUUUUCAUGAAUUUAUCAUUGAUAACUUGAACAUUGAAUUCUAAAUGAAAUAAAUAAUGCACAACCUAAAAUCAAUAAUUUAUUUCAACAAAACUUGCAACUAUAUUAAUUUCAUUUAUACAAUCAAUGAUAGAAGCUAUCAUAAGGAUAGUAUGUUAUUAGUGACUCAAAGGUAUUACCAAUAGCAUACUAAUCUGAUAUCUCUCUUUUUUUUUGUCAAUUUAUGCUAAAAACAAACAAGCACAAUUUCACUUUAUAGUAGCAUUACAUUCAUAUCAUUGAUGUAACCUAUUAUGGAUAUUAUUUAUAGAUGCUAUUAGUGAUAUCCUAUUGUUGCUACCACUGAUAGAUAUUAUAAGUCAUAGCACUGAUAGAUAUUAUAAGUGAUAGCAAUAGAAAAAUAUCAAUUGCUAACCUAAUUAAACCUUAUCAAUUAAAAAUUGAUAUGUUUACCAAAGAGAUAUCCUUCAAAUGAUAUUGCUUAUAGUUACUAUUAGUGAUAUCCUUCUAAUUGAUCAACCAUUGAUAGAUAAUGUUAGUGAUAUCAUUUUACGUUGAUAUCAACAUAGAAAAAUUACUUAUAAUAGCUAUUAGGAAUAUCAAUUGUUAGCAACAACACUAAUAAAAGAUAUGAGUGAUAGUAACUGAUAUCACAUUUCUUAAAUUGAAAGCUAUCAAUGAUAGCAGUUAUCAGCGAUAGUAGCUAACUAUAGCAACUGAUACCAUAUUUCUCAAAUUAAAAGUUACUCUACCCUUUAGUGACUAACAUUGAUAAAAGCUAUCAUUGAUUAAUGUUAUCAAUUAUAUCAAGUGAUAACAUAUUUCUCAAAUUAAAAGUUAUUAGUGAUAACAUCUAUCAGUUAUAGCAACAUAUAAAAGCUAUCAGUUGCUAUCAAUUAUAGCUUUCAACUUAAGAAAAACAGAAAAAUAUUGGUAAUGGUGACAAAUUAUCACUGAUAGUAGCCAUAUGUGAUAACAACUAUUAGUGAUAUUCACUAAUUGUAGCUAUUAGUGAUUGCUUUCAAUGUGAAAACAUUGAGAAGAAUUGUGUGAAAUAAUCAUUUUUCAAAUUGAAAGCUAUUAGUGAUAGCAUAUAUCACUUAUAGCAGCUAUCAGUGAUAGUUUUUAAAUUGAGAAAUUCGACAAAAAAAACGUCUAAAGUGGUGGUUGGACAUAGGUAUUUUAGUCUUUUACUAUUUUUUGUGCUAUAUAUGCAAUUAUUUUAGGAGUUAUUAAAAAAUAUAAUAAACUGACAAAAUAUUUACACUGUAUAGAACAGUUUUGAAAACGGGAAAAGUUCACAUGCCCACAAUGAGAAAUGCCAAAAAUUCCUUAGUCAACACUCGAAUAAUCAACCACACACGCACAUGUAAUUCUUCUUCUAAACGGUCAUGAUACGCGAUCUUGUAGGUAGUAUCAACGAGAUUGUGUUGUGUUUUUAAACGAUCGAAAAAGAGGUUCAAAUUUAAAUGAUCGUGUUAACCAUACUAAACGAUCGUGUUAACCAAGUAAGCGAUCGUUUAAAUUAUAUCAAAGUGAUAUGUAAACCAUCUUGAUAUUUUGGAUGAAGAGCUGGAAGAAAGAAAGAGAAGAUGAAGAAAGAAAUAAAAAGAAGGCGAAUAAAAAUAAAAGAAACAAUAUCAAAGGCAAAUAAAAAAUUUAUAAAACGAUAUUAUUGGCUUCCUAGGCUUUUUAUUUUUGUUAAACAAGCCUAAAUAUUUUGGUGUUUUAUUACAUUUAUGAAAUUUAACAUUUUAAAACUUAGGGACCGUUUGGUUGAAGGAAAGGAAUAAGGGGAAAAAGGAAUAAGAAAAAUGGGGGAUUAAGGGGAGGAAAAAAUUAUUAUAAUCCUUGUUUGGGGGAAGGAUUAAGUGAAAGGAUUAUGGAUGAUUAUUAUAAUCCUUGUUCGGGAGAAGUAUUAUUUGGGGGAAGGAUUGUGACAAAAAAAAAUUGUAUUUUUUUUUUCAUUUGUGUAAUUUUUUUUUAUUUGUAUGUUAACUCCAAUAUGAUAAAAAUACAUAAUUAUUUUUUUCCUGAAAAUGAAAUUAUUGUUUUUUAUCACGAAUCCAAUACAAAAUGAAAAAUGUGCUAAUAUUUUUUGCAUUUGUGUAAAUUGUUUGUAUCGUAAAACCUUUACAACAAAAAAUUGUAUUCAAAUUCAUUUUCUUUAGUUAGGUUGUAUCGUAAUCCAAGCGUUUACAAAAAAAUUGUAUUGAUUUUUUUUUUAUUUUGUAAAUAUUAUUUUUACUUAACGUACACCUAAUAUACUUUGAAAAUUAAAGUUUUUUUUUUUUUUCCAUUUGUACCAUAGUUUUUUCUUUCAUUUUUAACAUUAAAUCAAGUACACAAAAUAAAGUGUAUUAAUUUUUUUUAGUUGUGUAAAAUAUGUUUAUGAAAUUUAUAUCGUAAAUUCAAUUUACAUAGAAAUUGUAUUAUUUAAUUUUUCAUUUGUCUUCAAAUUUGUAGUUUAAUUUAAUCCGUAAAUCCAAUACCUUAAAAAUAUAUAUAUAUUUUUUAAUUUACGGCAAAUAUUUAUUUUUUUCUACCGCAACCCCAUAUGAGAAAGAACUUAAGGGGAUAAUCCUUAAUCCUUUGGGAUGAUCCUUUCCCAAACGGUCCACGUAGAACUAAAAUAGUAAAUUUUAAAACUCGUUCAAGAAACUCACAUGUUAAAAAAAAAAGUAUUUCUCCGUUAAAAAAUAAUUAGAUAAUAAGGUCUAAAAUCAUACAAAAGAAUUAACCCAAAAAAUUCAAAUUACAAGUUAUCCUCUUACUUUUUUUCUUUUUGUUUUUUUUAUCAACUUAACCUAAUGCCCUUAAACAACUCACUACCAAAUAUUUGUUGAGAGUGAGCCACUAAUUUUGAAUCCCUUUGAUAUGGAAAUCCACUAACAAUACUCAUUCAACCUAUGGAAUUAUACCUAAAGGAAAGUGUUGAAACAAAUAAAAGACGAACAAAACAGAAUAUUUGGGAUCUGAAUAUUCAUAUCCACCUAAAAGACACCUUUUGUGUUUGAGUGGAAAUAUUUUAGAAUACUCUCUCAUGCGGGUCUUCUUUGUUCGUCACUAUAUCGCUGUUUUCUUCCUCCAACCAUACUUCAAUAAUUAUUUUGCACACUUACCUUUCAUCUUUGGACCAAAUUUGCAGUCAUUUCAAUCGAAAUAUACAACUUUCAACUUUAGUGGUACUUCUUUUGCUACGAGUAUCUUCAAGAUAUAGUCUCACCAAACCUAUAGAAGCAAUAAACUCCAUUUCUUUUAUUCAAUUAAAAUAAGUAAUAUAUGGUCAUAUUAUAUCAUUGUAAUUAUAAAAAGAUAAAUGAACAUCAACCAAGUUCAUAUAAUUUAAUUAGUGAUACUUUAUAUUCAACCUACAAAUAUGUGGAUAACUAUAACUAGUUGUACAGUUUAUAAAUAUAUUUUGACAAAAAAGAACUUGAAUUAAAAUUUAAUUUUAGAAUCGGUUAUCGAAUAGGUACAUAUAUGAAGUGGGAGGACAACUAUGCUUUUUUUAAUUCUUCAUGUUCCCACUUGUCCUUGUUGGUGAUUUAUUCAUUUCAUCGGAAAAUAUUUAUUUCUUCUUCAUUAUCUCUCAUAUAUUUCCUCUUCCAAAUCUAAACAAUCGUGUACUAAGAUCUAAACGAUUUUGGACCAAGAUUGUGUACAAAAAUUGUUUAGAUACUGAUACACGAUCGUUUAGCUCUUGGUAAAUGAUCGUGUACUAAUAUCUAAACAAUCUUGGUUCAUGGUCGUAUACCAAUGUCUGAACGGUCGUCUACCAAGCUUUUAGCGUACAUGUGUAGCCAUCUAAUCAAGGAAUACUUUUGCUAUUUUGUACUAUGGGUCUGUUGAUUUUUUUGUAUUCAAAAUUGUUCGAUCUAUACAAUAUAAAUAUUUUCCUAGUUUGUUAUUUUUUUUUUUUAAAAAAAAGCUCCAUUGAAUUACUAUGUGUUUUUUCAUUAAAAAAAUUAUUCAAGCAAGUCUAAAAUUUAAAAUAAAGAAAGAUAAACAAAAUAUAAAUUUGGAAUUGUAACAUCUUUAAGAGUUUUAGAAGAAAUAUCUUGAUAUUAGAGGAAUAUAUAUAUCAUGUAUGGGUCUUCCAACUAAAUUUAUAAGUGCAUAUUCCAACAUGGAGCAUUCUAGUCACUAUUCACUUUAGUGAGUAUUUUUUAAGUGGUUAAAGAUUGACCUUCGAUCUUUUUAUUGAGUCUAUGGACACUAAGAAAGUGUCUUGACAUAUAGACAAGAAACCAUUUUAUUUUGGAACAACAUUGUCGAAACUUUUAAUACUUGAAGAUAAAUUUAAUUGAACAUUAUAUAUUAGUGCCUAGCCUAAUUAACCAUUAGACUGAGAGUUCUCCCCAUAAACCAACACAAGCAUUUCAAUAUGCUCUGUCCUCAUUCAUAUGCAUCCAAGAAAAAAUCUCAGGAGGUCACCCAAUAUAGAAUUACUCUAAGGCUAAGCACACUUAACUUUGGAGUUCCUAUAAUCGAACCACCGAAAGGAAUGCGCACCUUGUUGGUAUAGGUAGUAACAUUUAAUUCUUUUAAGUCUUUCUUAACCUUACUUCAUGUCCUCAAGAUCCCUCUCAUUCAGAUGUGAUACUGGUUUAUUCAUGUUCCCUUCCUAAACUCGAGAAGUUAAUUAUAUGUCUACUAGGUUCUGCUUGGUUCAUCCCCAAACCACAUCUUACUGGGAGAGGUUCCUAUAUAUCUGAUACCACCAUUAAUGCCCAAGGCCUAGGAUCCAGACCAUGAUUUGAAAUUUGAAUCCCCGACAUUCCUCUACAUCUCCAGUGACCUGACAACAUCAUUCUUACUUAUCUUAAAGGCUUAUUAGAGUUAAAGUUCUCCCCACAAACCUGUAAGGCCAUGAUUGCAUACAACCAACACGAUGAAGGCUUUGCGAUAAGAAUAAUGCGUGAAGAGACUCCUGUUAGUAAAAUGAAAGUUUACGAAUGAGUUAUGCGAUAAGAACCCUUACACGAAGAGGGUGCACGACAAUCAAAUAAACAAUUUAACCUACUUCACCUAGAGAUGGUGAUGUGAUGUCGAUACCAAUAGGUUGGCGAUUGAUGGGACCUGAUAGCACAAUCUAAGUUUAGGAUAAGAGUUGAUAGAGGCAUGUAGCGUUUCAGGAUUUGACCAUUUUCUUCUAUCGCUUAAAGAAAUCAUUUCAUUAUGAAAAGAUGAUAAUUUGUAGAAAUACAAAUUAUUGUAGCCUCUUUUAUAUAACGAGGCCAAAUAAAGAGGUGUAUCAAAAAUCGUAUUUUAUGUUGAAAAUCCAUAAGUAUUUAGACAUAUACCUUGUAUAAGGUCUCAUGCUUGUUUCAUCUUAUUUUUAUCAUUCUAACGUAGGUUUGCUAACAAAAUGAAGAAGCUGGCGAAUUGUAAAGAAACUUGCGAAAAGACUCAACUAGAAGGCCAGUAAGAGGCGAGAAGCAGUUCACUAGAAGACAAAAGUAGUAGUUGGAGUGACAUGAUUUGUUUACAGAGAUUACUUUUGGUACACAUAAUCGGAAAAAUAAUUUUUCGUUUAAAAGUGUCUAUAAAAAAUCUCCUCCUACACCAUUUAAGAUUGGCCAGAUGUCUGAACGGAUCGGUAGGAUGGCCUGAAGGGGUCAAAAAUCCUAGAGAAAGGUGGGAAGGAGUAGCAUUUCCACUGUCUGCAAAGAAAUUUCUUCUUCUCAAAUUAGAUUGUAAGAUGAGAGCUUAGAGUUUGUGUAACGACCUAAACUUUUAAGCUAAAUAAAGGUCAUUACUCAAAAGACAUGUAACAAAAGACAAUUUCUUGAAAAUAGGAAAACUAGAAUUUUUAUAUAAAAUUAACAUCAAUAAAUGUUCGAAAACAUAAAAUCAAUAGAACGAAUAAACAUAAUUUGAAAAAGUGACCCUCAAGUUCUAACAGUUUUAAAGAAAACAAAAAUAAAUAAAUAAGACAACUUUAAAUAAAAUGUCUAAAUUUUGUAAUACUAAAAACUUACAAAUAGAUGCGAAAGUAGAACUAUGUCCUCAUAUGGCAUGCGUCACACCCUUUCUGUCGCUCACCAUCUUUCCAGAUCCUCUACCUUUGCCUAAAAUAUUAAACAUACAAAAGGGUGAGUAUACAAAAUAUACUGCGUAUGAGACCCAUUACUAGUCCCGCUAGGUGAUUUGUUAAUGUCACAGCUCGAAACACCUGCUUGCUCGUCCUAAGACGUGACAUGAUCUCAGGCGAAGUCGUUCAUCUCCAGAACCACCUCAACUGACACAUGACAUGGCAACGUGAAACAAUCAACAAUGAAAGUCUUUAAUCUUGAAAUACUUUAAGCCGUAGUGUAACCCAUAUGAAAUCGUUAUAAAAUAUAUAAUGGAAUUUGUAUAAACCAUGAAGUUUAGAACAUUCACAUGACUAAUUUGAAACAAAACAAAAUCCUUGUAUAAAGGAAAACUAUGUUGGCCUGGCAGCAAUAUGUUCAACAUCCGGAGAUCCAUAAUCUGUACUUGGAAAGUGGGGAAAGCAUUUUGAAAGAGAAAGUCGAAAAACUUAGUGAUUAAAAUGUAACACUCCAAAAACUAAGGUAUCUUUAAAUUUAAAUAUCUUGGUUGAAUUUAGUUUAUGUUGGACUUAAUUGGGUGUUAUUUUAGAUGUUUGUGGAAAAUUUUCUUAAUUAAUUAUUGAAGUUGGUAAAAAUUCAAUUCAUGAGAUUUAAGAAUUUUAAUUAAUUUUCUAUAAAUAUAUAUGUAUAUAAUUAAUUAAGUCAUGGAAGAUAAGAAUAGUUAUAUUAUUGCUUUUGAUUAAAAUGUUGAGAUUUAAUGUGAUGUUUCGAAGUAAGUUGACCUUACACCAUUGAUAAUAAGAUGUCUUGCCCUUACUGUGUGAUCUAGUGUAAGAUACUCUAUUCUUGUUGUGUGAUAUGGAAUAAAAGGCCCUAUUGAUGCUGUGUGAUCUUCGAUAGGAUGCUUCAUGCUUGCUGUGUGAUCUUUUCUUGCUAUGCGAUAUGGCAUUGGAAGACGUAUAAUUCGAGAGGAAUUGAUGGAAUUUGCUAUACGCGUUGAGUUUUUUUCGAAUAGCUUUAACUUGGCAAAAGAGUAUGUCAAACACUUGAAAUAUGCAGAGCCAAGGAAAGGGGUACAAGCGUGUGAUUGAAAUAUUCAGAGCAAAUAUGUGAAACAAAUAUCUGGUAUGCGAGAGGCAUACAUUAUGAUAAACUUUGAAAUGUUCAGUUACUCUGCUAUAAUGUUGAUUUCUUAUAGCUGAUUUUAUGGAUUUACGGCAACAUUGACUUGUUUAAGGUCAUUGUUAAAAGAUUUCACUCACUAAGCAUUUUCGUCUAACCUUUCAAAUAUUUGUUUCAUUUCCACUCCCACCCCUCCAAGUAGCGAAUGACAUCCAACAUCGAACUUGCAGUCAUGAUUGCCUUUUGUGCCUUGUACUCACAUCAUUUUGAUAGUGGCCACUGUCAUUCCGCCUAACAUGUAGGGGCUAGGAGAGUAAAGUGGAGUCUGUAUUUUGUCACUUUUAGAGGUCUUGAAUACCAAUGAUCAAAGUACCCUUAUAUUUGUUCGCUAAUGAAGUGUUCUUCUUUCCUUCAAUUUCAUCUUCUGCAUUUAAAAUUUUAAAUUAUGAAGUUGUCCUGCUUACUAGUUGUUUGGCAUGUCAUCUCGAGAGAGAGAUUCUUUGAUUGUCUAGGCGACAUGCCCUCUAUUUAGUUGCGUGGUGUGAUAUUUGGACGAGGCGUGACAAGUGGUAUUAGAGCAUAAGUUCUUGGGAACGAUCUCAAGUAAAGUCAUGCAUGUGAUGUCGCAUAAAGUAAUGACGUGAGAGUCUAACAAAUCACUACUAUAAAACAGACAAUACUUGACGCUUAAAAACUGUCAAGUAUCUAUUUACUUAACGCUUUUCAAUGUGUCAAGUAAUCCAGUGUCAAGAAUAAGUGAGGUUUACUUGAUAGUUUUUAUUUACCUGUCAAGUUUAACUUCUGGCUAAAGCGUCAAGUAUAUAAGAUUACUUAUGCUUUUUACACGUCAAGUAAUCCAGUGUCAAGAAUAAUGAGGUUUUUUGUUUGACUAUUUUUACGUGUCAAGUAAAUAUAUAAUUGACAGUUUAUAAAUGUCAAGAAUUUGUUUAUUCUUGACACGUUUUACAUGUCAAGAUUAUUUUUUCUUCCAAAUGAAAAAUUGUACAAUUUGAAAUACCAAUAUAAUUAUAUUGUACCUGUUUUGAAGUCCAAUAAUGGUAUACAUGUUCAAUUGAACUAUUUAUAUUUCUUGAAUCAACCCAAACUUUUAAUCAAAUAACUAACAAAUUGCAUAUAUAUCAUUGAACAUAUACAUAUAGUUGGUCAUUACAAUAUACUUACAACAUAGGAUAGUGGUUCCGUCGAACUCACAAAAGUCAUGAAAUAUAACAUGAUAGGCUAGUGGUCCCGUCAAACUCACAUCGGUCAUAAAAAAAGGUGGGGAUCCCGAGGGACACCCAUAUGGGUACGACCCUAAUAGACAAAGUUAACAGAACAUUCAUCCAUAGCAUAUAACAUAUCAUAAACGUCAUAAAUCUGACAUGAAUAUAAAUCAUAACGUCUUUAUCAUGUCUCAAUCAUCCAUAUUAGUCACAUUAUGCAUCUUAGCUAUAUUAACGCAUAAUGAAAAAUACAUGCAAACUCUUAAUUUUAUUUUCGAAGGUCUAGUAGUAAAAUCUCUUACUUGAGAGAUUAGUCAAACAAAAUACUCCUUAGCUGGCAGUAAAAAUUCUCCAAUUAAAUCGAUCUUAAUCAUAAAAAAAAAUUUAGUAUCUUAAUUAUAAAAUUAAAAUUUGGUUGUUGAAACCAAUUCAACAUUGAGAGAAAAAUUUGUCAUUUAAAUUUUCAAGAUUUGUUAAAGGAACUAUCCAAAGGCAUGCAACCAAAAUCAAUUCGAAGAUGGAACCUUUUUCUUUUUUUGUUUCUCUUUUCAAUUUAGCCAUUUCAAUGUUAUUUAUAGACCAAAAUAAUAAUAUUUAUCAUUAUUAUUUUCUUUUCCUUUUAGUAUCUAUCUAUAUAUAUAUAAUACCAAUGUAUUCAUAUAUUUUUAUUCUCAUUAUUUUUUCUCGAAUAAUUAAUUGGGACCCUUGAAAAAAUAGCAAAAAAAUUUAUGAUAAUAGGGUUCAUGUCACUAUAUUUUCUAAAUUACAAAAGUAUCAAAUUUAAAAGCCGAUAACCCUAUGAUUACCGGAUUACACUAAUUUUGUCAUAUUCGCAAUAUGCAAAAAAAUAGGUGUCAUGAGCUGAUAUUUUCUAAAUGUUUUUGUCAUUUGAUGCAAUUUCAUUAAUUAAUUUUUCACAAAUAGAAUUAUCUUUACUCUUUUCCGUAACUUAUUUUAUAUACACAUAUACAUAUAAUUAUCAAAUCUUUAACCAAAAUUUUCACCCUUCAAUUUACUUAAAUAAACACCCAAAUUAUUUAAUUAAAUUCAAUCUCAACCACACCAAAAAUCCAAUUCUACUAAUUAACUAAAUAUUCAACCAAAAAGUAUUUGAUUAAUUCUAAUUUCAUAAAACCAUCAAAUCUAAAUAAAAUAUUUUAAAUUAUCGCCUGAUAGUUCCAACAUAAUUAAAUAAAAUUAAGAUAAUGAAAUUCAAUAUUACCUUAAUUUUUGGGGCAUUACAAUCUUCCCUCAUUUGAGAAACUUUCGUCCUCGAAAGUUCUAAUCCCCAAACAGCUUGAGAUACUAGGCUCGCUCUUAUGUAUAUAUAUUUAAUUAAUUCAACAGAUAAUUCCAAAUAAGUUCCUUAACUUCUAAUUUUAAUUAAUCUAACACCCAAUAAAUUCCUUAACUUCCAAUACCAUUUAAUAUAACACCAAUAAUAAGUUCCUUAGUUUUUGGGGUGUUACAACGCAAGCGCUGGACAAAGUGUCUAGUAACUCACACGGUUUGGUUGAAGAAGGGUUGAAGAAGAAACAGUCGAUCACCUCCCUCAGAAAAUAGAUAAAAGGUCUAGCAUCGAAAGGCUUAAAGCAUUUGAAACAACCACCUUUACAAGAACCACUGAUUCUGCUGACGCGAAGAAGUGCUUAAGCUUGAUAGAAAAGUGUUUUAGGGCGAUGGAUUGCCUCGAAGAGAAGAAGGUGAAAUUAACAAUGUUCUUGUUGGAUGAAGGCGCAAAAGAUUGGUGGACUCUUCAUGCGGCCAAGACAAGCAAGGAAGAUACCAUCACAUGGGAUGAUUUUGUCACCGUUCUAGAGUAUGACAAAAGAUUUACGGAGUUGGCGAAGUAUGCCUUAGACUUCGUAACUAAUGAAGUAGAUAAGUGCAAGCGAUUUAAAAAGGGCCUGCAAACCAAAUUUAGCACUACAAGAAAUUGGGGCUAUCCCGACGCAUAAAAAGACAUCAACAUUAGAAAAAUCAAGAAAUAGCACCUCCGUUGAUACCAUAAGAAGCGUGUCGGUAGAGGCCACUAUUCUCGAGCACUACUACAAAAAUUUAGUUACUUGACGUUAAUAUAAUGUCAAGUAAACCUAUACUUGACGUUUUGAAAAGAGUCAAACGACUAUCAAGUAUAGUCAUAUUACUUGACACUAAAAACCAUAAAGUACUCUAUUUCUUGACGUCAUUUUUGUGUCAAGUAAGGUAGUAUAUUUGACGCCGUUUACAUGUCAAAGAUGUUUGACAGUUUUUUAACAUCAGGUAUGAUCAUAUACUUGACCCUAUUUACACGUCAAGUAAAAUUCUAUAGUUGACACUAUUUAUCCAUAAAGUAAAAUGGUAUAUUUGACUCAAAUAAGAUAGUAUACGAGACAUGUAUUUAACGUCAUGUAUACCGUUUAUUAAUAUAUUAAAUAUAUUGAAAUUUUUUAUUUUUCACUUUUCAUUUCCUGCAUUACGAACAUUCGUUUCAAUAAGACAUAUCUAUCAACAAAACAAACUCUCCAACUAGCAGUUAAACAACAAAAAAAGGACAAAAAGUAAGAUAUAAUUUUAUUCUCUUCUUAAUAAUGUCAUCAACAAUUUCACAAUCCAAUCCAAUAUAGCCAACUAAAAUUUUCUAUAUGUCCUAUCCCAAAGUUAACAAUAAUAAUAACUAUCUUAUAUAACCAAAAACAUGUGUGGUAUACCAAAAUUGAAGUUUAUCCCUAUUAAUCUUUUGCCUCAAAAUGGCUAUGAACAAAACAUUUCCACAAAAAAGGUUAUGAGCAUUCCCAUAUCUUAGUCAUUUACAAAAUUAACAAGAUCAUAUCUAGAUGUGUCUAUUGUUGGGAUUUAUGUCAUAAAACUCGUAGAUAGUAAAUAUAAUUCAUUAACCGUUAUUUAUUAAAAAAAUGUUAUUAUUAUUAUUUCAAUAAGCGUAAUUGAUUAUAUUAUUAAAUUUUGAAAAUAUCUUUGCAUUUUAAAUUCUUUUGAGCAAAUCUUGCUUAUUGGGGAUUAAAUAUCUAAUCCAUUCCAAAACUGUGUUUAGGGGUUUGUAAUUAAUCACUAACCUUGGUACUCCACGUUCUUUUUCGGAGGCAUUGUUGACAUAAAAGGCGGCGCACGACCAUGGACUUUUGGAAGGUCUUAUUAGAUUUUUAUCUAUUAAGUUUUGUAUUUCUUUCCUGCAAUGUGUUAGCAAGUCGGAAUUCAAUUGAAUCGGUUUAGCUUUUGUUGGAAUGUCCGAUUCAUUAAAUUCUCUCGAAUAGGGAAGAUUAACUAUAUGUUUUUUCCUAAUCCAAAAUGCAUUUGGUAAACUAGAGCAACUUUUAUUUUAAAUUUUAAUUUGAGUUUCUUUUAUCCUAUUUUGAAUUGAAAAUUCUUUUAAAAUUUCUUCCGUUCUUUUGUAGUCAAUUUCAUCUCUUAGAAACCUAAUUUGUUUUUGUUUUCUUUUUAUUUGUUCACUUUUCAAAACAUUAAUUUCUAAAAGUAUGUGGGGGCAAAAUUGAAGAGAUAAAUUAAAAAAUUAACUCUUCCCCAAAUUUCAUUGCUACUAAACUCUUUUAAGUUAUCAUUAAAGAAUACAUUGAGUAAUGAAAGGUUUACUAAGAAUUUGCUCUCGGCGAAGAUCUUUUACUGAAAGGAAAGAUGUUUUGAAACAAUGGUGUUUAUUACAAACAUGUACUUUUCAAAGUUUGAACUUGAUAUUUUACCUCUUACCAUUUGCUCUGGUGAGAAUUUAUGUGGUUUUCUCAGAAUAUUUUAUAGGAAUUAGACAUUCUUGAAUGCAAUUUUGAUAUGUUCCAGAAUCUACUAGUGCUUUCAAAGUAAAUUUGAAGUCUUCUAUUUUUAGAGUAAUUAAACAAUACCAUUUUUGAAAACUUAUUUUUGAUAUUAGAUUAAUUUCAGGAUUCAGAUCAUUUGAAAAUUUUCCUUUUUUAUUUCCAAAAUUUCAUACUGUUGAGAAAUUUCUCUUUUUAGGCAAUUGAUUUCAAAUUUUAAAUCCUCAACACCUAUUCUUCUUUUGGAGUUUGUAGAAUAUUAGAAAGACUUUUUUUCUUCAGAAAUCGUCUUCUUUUUCGAAAAUGGUUUUGAAGAAGAUUGUCCUGUUAAAGAAUCUCUAAGUGUUUCUAAAAUAUAUUUUUUUAAAUCCUUAUUUGAAACAUGGUUAAUACUUUGAAAUAACAAAUCUUGUUAAGAGGUUAACACAUUUAUUUCAUUUAAAACACACUUACAUGGGCUUUUUGCACAUCCACAUACUCUUGGUCCUUCAUCUGAAGAAGAUUGACUUGAGGUCUCUGAAUCGGUGUCGUCUACUAUUUUCUGUAAUUGUAAGUAAAAAAAUAUAAGAAGAAUCUGAAGAAUAUUCUUCUUCCUUUAAUUCAUGGAUUCCUCUUUGUGGACACUUAUUGACAUAAUGUCUUUCUUUUCUGCACUUGUAGAAAAAAACCCUUUACUUGUUUUUCUGCAGGUCUUUUAUAAUUUGCAAACUUGUAGAAAAAAACCCUUUACCUGGUUCUUUGACUUUCUCAAAUUCGUAUUGCAAGCAGAAAGUCUUCAUUUCUCUCUUAUGAAAGUUCGAAUGCUUUUGAACCUUGGUCUGGAUUUUUAUCUCGUUACAGAUAUCAAGACCACAUUCUAUUAUCUUAGAGGUUAUUUGAGCAUAGGUAAGUUCCUCCCAAGGUAUUUGAACUGGAUACGCUUUGUUGAGAGAAUUUUAAACUCUUUCUGCCAUGAAACUUGGAACUCCAUCCAUAAACAUUUUUCUUUCCAAUGUCUGACAUUACAAUCUCUAAAAAUGUAAAUUCUUAAUAAAAACAUAAAUUUGUACCACUUGACAUUUCCCAUAGAAGAGCAUUUUAGGGGGUUUUGAUUAUUUUCCUCUGAUAGUCUAUAUCAAAGUCACACUUCGGCUUAGGAAGUGUCUGUUGAUUGUGUAGAGAAGAACUUCUACAGCGUCUUCACAUUCUUCUUCUAUUUCUAAAGGUGUUACAUUUUCAUCAUCAACUUUAAUUACCCUUUUUACUUUUGUUUUAUAUCUCUUUAUCGCUUCUCUUUGCUCACUAGUUAAGGCAUGAUCCCACCACAUUUUGAGGCUUCCACUAAAUCCAUUGAUUAAGACCGAUGCAACUUCUCCGUUUGUAUGAUCGUUGGAUUCGUAGGCUAUGGAACAGGUUAACAUAUUAUUUAAUAUGUCAUAAAUUUGAUACUUUGGAGUUCCAUCAAUAUUCUAAACAUAUAUUGAUUCUCCAUUGAAUUCAGGAUUGAUUGCAUACCUUUGUCUUUGCUCUAAACCAUCUCUAGGGAAUGAAGGUCGAGAAUGAAAGUUAAUUUGGUCCCUCUUGCUAAUAAACCUUCAUAGAUUUAUUUUAUUGACUUGCUUUUCUUCUUCGUUGACGAAAAUAUUUUCAAAAUUUUCCAUAAACUGUGCAACAUCUUCUUCGUUGAGAACAUUUAUCGAACUCUCACGUUUUACGUUGUGGAGACGCUUAUUAAUUUUAUCUAGGAGUUUUGUUUUUGUGUUUUUAUUUUAACCUUGUUUAAAGGUUGAAAAAGGUUAAGGGUUUCUUUAAAAGUAGGGGGUUUAAGAUUUCUUCCAGCUUGAAGACUUGACUGGCAGUUGAAGAAAGCAUUAUGUUAGAAUAGUUAUUUUGAGCAUGAAUACAUUUUAUUUCCUUAUUUUUUGGAGCCUUAUUUUCUUCCGAAUCUUUGAGGUAUUGAAGAGGUUUGGCUAUAAUGUUUUCAUUAUAAAAACUUUUGAAUUCAAUAUCUUCUAACGGAGGGUAAUCAUGUUUGAUUUCUCCUCUUCUUAAAGUUUUCCAAGAUUCCUUUUCUUUUAUUGUACAAAGAUGGUUAAACUCUGUCCUUUGGUUGAACCAUCUAAAAAGUGAAAUAUGUUCUUGAAGUGUUUCAAGAGUAUCGAGAGACGCUUCUCUGAACAACUUCAUUUUUGUUUCAGAGUAGGUUUUAAAAAAGGCAACCAUUUCACUGCGAUUUGCUGCUGACAUAAAUUCAUUUUGAAGUGAUUCUCUGUCAAGCUCAAACUUUGUUUAUGAAAUAAUUACAUUUAAUUGAGAACUAGUAUCCAUUUUCGUUUGAGUUGGAGAAUCAGGAAGAGCUUUUUCAUAAACAAUAUGUGGUACUCCUUGAUCUAAUCUUACAGAUUUAAUCUUGAGGGAGCUUGACCUCUUUAGGUUAGGUAUUGGUUCACUUCUAAUACUGGAUGUACUUGGCCUUGAACUCAUAAACUCUCAUGAGCUUAUGUUUUCUUUGACUAUCGGGAACCUAGGUGAUUCAUUUUCAAACUUGAUUUCUACUUUUCCAUCAGGAUGUUCACUAAUAUGGGAAACCUCAUUUUCUUUCUGUUGAGGGACGAAAGCAUUUCAAGGAUCCAAUGGGGAUUCUUUGUAACUUCUUCCCAAGAGAGGAGUUUUGGCACACUGACAGAAGAUUUAUUUAGGUUGGUUUCUAUCAACAUGGUUUUUCCUUUUGCAGAAGACAUUAAAGCCUUUGGAUGCAUGGUAGUGGUUAAAGCUUUGUAGGUGAUUUUAUAAACAAGGGUUAAUUUCUUAACUCCUUCCUCAAAAUUCAAACCUUGUCCAGUGAUAUCAAGGCUCAAGGUUUUAAGAAUGUGGGGAUCGUCAAGAGACAACAUAAAAUUUGGAAAACAAUUAAAAUAGACAGGGCCAUUGGCCAAAUUUGAUUCAAUAAUUUCUAACAAUGAAUUUGAAAAAUCUUUAUGGCGUUUAUCACGUAAUAGCCAAAACUGGUGUAUCCAACUCAGAUCUAAACAUUUGAAUUAAGGCUAGUUGUACAAUGCCUGUAUGAAGAAAAGAAAAUUCCUUUUAAUGUUUUUUUCAAUAUCAUUUCUUGGAAAUAGUUGUAUAGAAUCGAUUUUUUCGUAAACUGGAAUUUUUCUUUCAACAAUUUUUACACAAAGAUUUUCUUUAAAAUUAAAUGUGUUUUGAAAAUAAAUUGUUUUUGAAUCAAGUUUAGGAAUUCCCCAAUUGAGAAAAUCAUUUUCUAAUUUUGCUAUUUGUAUAGAUUCAUAGAAAAUCAUUUUCUAAUUUUGCUAUUUGCAUAAAUUCAUUAGUAACCUCAUUUGCGUAUGAGGAAGGAGUAUGCUACUCCUCAAUUUCCUUUUGAGAAAGUUCUUUUGAGGAUGAUUUAGAGGAUAAAAUUUUUCUCAGGAAAUUAGACAUUUGAAAAUUUUAAGUUCUCAUAUUAUAAAUAUUUAUUUUUUAAAAAUUUCUAUUAAUUCUAGAAAUAAAAUUUGUUGGACCAAGAAUCUAUACCUGUAUGUGCUAAGACGGAUUAGUGCUGACCAACGGUCUCACUGCGCCUCUUUGAUUCUUGCUGCUUACUGCGCCUCUUUGAUUGUUGCUGCCUGGACCACAAACUUAGACACGAACGUACAAGUGGACAUAGAACCUGGGCUUCAAAAUUUAAUUUCUUGAAGCAACAAAAAGGCUUGAAGAAUAAAAUUUAAUGACAAGAACUAAAUGGUCAACCCUUCUCCCCCAGAAAUUGAAAUUGGAAUUAUUUGAUUACAAUUGUAAGCUAUUUAUUGAAUGGCUUUGAUACCAAUUGCUCGAUGAUUAUGCAAAGAGAAUUAGGAUCGAUGGAUUACAAGAAGCAGGCAGUCAAAAUAUUAGGAGUAGAGUCAAACUUCUUUUAUUUAGUCCAACUUGAUAUUUCUACCAUAGUCAAACUUCUUUUCAUUUCUUUCUUCUUGCUUCUCCUCUUAACAUAGUUUCUGCUUGUUUAGUUAGCCUGAUACGAACAUUGUAUCAGGGCAAAAGUUAUUUCUUGUGUGAUAACUGUGGGAGAGUUCACCAAGGUCAAUGUUUGAUUGGAGUAGACGUUUGUUAUUAUUGCAAAAGAUAUGUGCAUUUUAAACUGGAAUGCAAUCAGUCAAGAUGGGAGAAACAAAAUGAUUCGCGAGUUGAAUCAAAAUUAAGUCAUGAAUCAAGGAAUUCUCUAUCAAAGAAAGAAGAGUCUUUUGGCAUAAAGAAAAAGUGUUUGAUGGAUUAAGAAAUUGUGGUUUAAGUAAUUGUAUAUAAUUGUUAAUGUUAAGUUGUAAGUAUGUUUUAUGUUAGACUUAAGUAAUAAAAUGUACAUUUAUGUAAAAGUUGUUGGUUGAUGUUUAAAAUUUCGAAGACAAAAUUUCUUAAAGGGGGGUAAGAGUUGUGUAACCCCAAAUUUUUGGAUGUUUGGAGUUUAUUAAGAAUAAGAGAAACUGAUAUUAAAGAAUCAAGAAAGUUAAAUUCUUUGGAAAGGUUAAAAUUUAGGUUUAAGUCAAAGUUAAAAAAAAAUUGACUGAGUAUCAAAGAGUAGCACAUUAGGUGUUUAGAGUUUAGCAUUGGGCGGCAAAGAGAAGGAAAGAACCUCUAAAGAGGUUAUUUGGCAUCUCGGAGAUGUGUCUAGAUGUUUUCGGUUGGCUUGGCAAAAUGGCUAUAGAGGUUAGAAAGGGGUAUUGGGCGUUUAAGGUUGACAAGAAAGAAGGAUCAUAGAGGUUAGACGUUUUAGCUAACUUCAACAAAGGAUUUCUCAUAAGUCACUUGACCAAAUUCACUCAAAUUAGUUUUAAAAGCUCAAAAAUUAUGUCUAGUUUGUUGAGGAGGGCUGUUGGAUAUUUGGGAUGCGAGAAGUUUGACAUUUUGGUUAAGAGAAGGCAAGAAGGUCAGUUCUCGAGUGAAUCUGAACAAGGUGCACUCCUAAAAGGCUACCUAACUCAUCUUUCAGCCCUUUGUUCUGAAAUUGUGAGGUAAGGAAGCUAAGAUAUUUUAGAGCAACUUUAUAGUAGAAAGUUUUAUGAAAAGAGUCAUGGAUUUUAAGUUUAUGAUUUUGCUAUGUCGGAUAAUGUAUUCUAGACGAGAAAUUAGGCGAGAUGGACAAAAUUGGUAUGUUAUAGAGGUUAUUCUGGGAAUAUUUAAGAAUUUUUUUUGGAUAUUUUCAUGUUUAAGGGACUAAAUAAGGAAUAAAUAUGAAUUUUUCAUAUCAAGGAGACUCAAGAGGAAUUUACGAUGAAGGAUACAUAAAAGUAUUGUGAGUAACACAUCGAUUUCAAAAUGAUUUAUUAAACAUGGUUUUCAAGCUCCAAUAGCUUGUGAAUAACAAAUUGAUUUAUGAACAUGGUUUCCAAGUUAUUAUUUCAAGUCAUGAUUUAUAAACUGUUUUCAAGUCGAAUGAUUUCAUGAUCAAGGAAAUAUUUCAAAUACAUUCAAGGAAAUAUUUCAAUGUUUUUAUUCAUGUCCGAAUAUAACAUAAGACCUAUUGUAUACAUGUGGUUAACUUCAUACUGAUGGUACGGUUUACGAACCUAUUUUUAACUAUGGGCCAUCAAGACAAGUAUAUAUAUUUAUGCCUUAAAGGAGGGGGAUAACUUCUCAUUGACCGUCCCAUCUUCGGACGAAGGGAUACAUAUUGCCCGUGGUUAUGGAGGUCUUUCUUCGAAAAUACAAAAGAUUUCAAUGUUUCAAGAUUUAUGUUAUAAAAUGAUUGUUUAGUGAUAAAUGUAUUUAAGCUUCGAUUUAUACUAAAAUGUUUAUGAAAAUCAUUUUAUAAAGUCGUUGCUCACUAAGUUUUUCGAUUUAUCCUUUCAAAAAUGUUUUUUCAUUUUUCAGGUACAGAUUAUGGAUCUCCGCGUGCUGAACUUACUGUUGCCAGGCCAACUUUGUUUUCAAUCAUAAAAGGAAUUGGUUUACUUUAAAAUAUUUAUGUUGUUAUUCAAGAUUUUAUACUUUUACGUUUGAUAUACUUUUCACUUGGUUUCAAUAAAAGGAAUUUGAAAUGGAUCACACUACAAUUUUAAGUAGGGUAAUUGUAAUUGAUGGUCAUUUGACGAAUUAAAUAAUUAAAGAUAUAACAACAUUUUAAAAAAUUGCAAAUAUAGCAAAACUAUCCCUGAUAGACUCGUAUGGUAUAUAAGUGAUAGACCAAUAUUUACAAUAUAGUCUAUCGGUGAUAGACUUCUGUCAUUGAUAGAAUUUGACAAAUUUUGCUAUAUUUGCAAAUUUUUUAAAACCUUGUUAUACACUUAAUUAUUUUGAAUCUAAUUGCUAAAUUUGCAACUAUCCCUUUUAAGUAUUUUCAGUUAAAAGAAUUUUGUUGUUGAAUGUUUCAUGUUUUCAUGUCAUGUGUCAGUGAAGUUGUUUCGAUCGAAGGCAAAGGACUUUGGCUGACAUCACGCCAUGUCUCGAGCAAAGCAAAAACAGGUGUUCGGGACAGAGUGUGGUAGUUGUAUUUGAUCUUCAUUUUGCAUGAUCCAUACUUACAAAUGAAAUAUUAGUUAUUCAUAAUCCUUUUUUGCGCUUCACUAUUAUAUAUAAUUUCAUUAUCGAUCAUAUAUAUUUGGCUUUGCUAAUUAUCAAUUUAUAGGCUAAAAGUCACAAUUUAUUACUUAAGUAAAUUUGUUAAAAUUUUCACUAAAAAUUUCAUAAUACUUUUAUAAAUUUAUUUCAUAUUCUGAUUUUUUUUAUGCAAUAUUUGUCGAUAUCUAAAUAUUCGUUGAUAUAUCUAUAAGUUUGAGUUACCGAUAUUUAUACCGAAAAUGAUAUUUCUAUCCUUGAUUUAUCAUAGUGUGUGGUAUACAAUGUUACCAUAGGUGAAAGACGCUACCUAUAAAAUAACAUAAUUUAAUUGAUAUCCACAACAUUAGAUGAAUCGUUUGAUAGUUAAUUACCGGAGAUCUCUUAAAAUUUCAUUAUUUAAUAGUUAAGUUCAUAAGUUAUACAAAUAACAAUGAAGUUAUAUAAUAGAAGUAUAUAUAUUGUCCUUAGUUUUGGGCUCAAACAUCAGAGUAGCACAUAAUAUUGUGUACUUUUUCAUGGAAUGAUUCUUCUUAUACAUUAGUUGAAUUAAACACAGGUAAUCCAAAAAUAUAUAAGCUGUGAGAAAUGAAAUUGUACUCCAAACUGCAACCACAUCACAUCCUUAUCUACUGCCAUGUUACUGCUAUAGGACUUCUAACAGCAUAUGUUCCUGAGUGCCAAACAAGAGAUCCAAAGGAAAACUCAUCCAAACUUUCUCUUUUCCCCAAUGCAUAAAAACUCACUUUGUAACUCAACUUUUCUCCCAAUUUCACAAAAUUCAACUUCUCAGGUUUCACAAUAAUUCUUAUUCCUUUUGGAUUGUUAAUUCUUACAGUAUAAUCACUCCUUGGGAUACCAACAUUUGUCACUGUUCUCUUGAAUGUGCUAUUAACAUUUUUUCCCUUCUUCAUGAACACAGAGAAAGAAGGGUAAUUCAAGUCUCCUGGCUGAGAAAACGUGUUUUUUGAUGAACAUGUGAACUUCCCUCUUGAAACUAAAGAAAUUUGUGUUGAAGUAUACUUUAAGCUACACAAGUAGGUUAUGUAGUCUUGGGGUGCGAUAUCGUAGAUGAGCCCUGGAUGAGAAGCUUUCUCAGGAUCGACAUGGCCAGAACCAAACGCAAAAGAAUCCGCAGGACCACCACUAGCACGACCGACGUCCGAAAUGAGAUGCUUUUUGUUAUCAGUAACAUAAGCUGUUGUCAUGAGCGCCGAUUUAAUGGCGGCAGGCGACCAAUCCUUGUGAACUGAUUUAACCAAUGCAGCUAAACCGCUAACAUGAGGGCAAGACAUAGAAGUCCCUGAAAUAAUAUUGAACAACACUCUUCUUUUGUCAGACUCAAGCUCACUCGGGCUCACAAUCGGCGGCCAAGCAGCCAAUAUAUUAACACCAGGCGCAGUUAUGUCUGGCUUUAUCACGUAUGGUUUAAAAAAACUUGGCCCUCGAGAAGAAAAUGCCGCUACUCUCGGUGCUCGGCUUCCAUAUUUAGUCCCUUUGAAAAUGAUUGAUGCUUUCGCUUGACGUUUUGAGGAAGCUAUGUAGUUUAAGAUGGAUUUGGCAGCCGAAGCUCCAACAGAAGUGGCUGGCAAAACAUGAGAAUCAGCUAAAAGAUCUUCACCUUCAAGUAUUGUGUUGAUUAGAAUCAUUCCAGCUCCUCCAGCUAAUUUCACUUGCUCUCCUUUUUUAGUUCUUGAGUUUGUUCCUCUUUCACACACAACAAUUUUUCCCCUUACCAUUGUUGGGUCAAGUGAACCAGCAGUACAAAAAUUUGUUUCUUGUCCAUCACCAGCAGUAUUGUUAUAAACAAGUGGGACUUCCUUUAAGUUCUUGCCAAAAUACGAAGAAGAACCUUCGAAAACCUUUCCAUUUCCAAGCCUUACAGUGGUUGGGAAGGUUCUAUCUGUGUAACUAGCAGCAACAGUCAUGACCCAUGGUGCUACAUUACUAACAGUCGAGAUGAAUGGGCCAGAAUUACCAGCUGAACAUGACACAAAAACCCCUUUUUGAAUAGCACCAAAUGCAGCUAUGGCAAUUUGAUCGCUGUAAAUUAUACUAGAACCGCCGCCUAAGGAGAUCGAUAGAACAUCAACACCGUCAGCAACAGCGUGAUCCAUGGCUGCCAAAAUAUCAGCACUUGCACAUCCUUCUGGCCAACAUACCUUGUAUGAUGCGAUCCUGGAGAACCGAAGUUUUAAAUAUGAAUGUAGAUCAAUAUAUGCGUUUCUAAAUUAAAAGAGUGAAAAAAAAGUUGUAAAGUUUGAGUUCGUACCUACCUUAGAAGUUCAGGGAUCAAACUUGUAAUUUAAGUUCAUUGUAUUAUAGAAAUAUUGAAUAAAUCAGACAUAAAUUCAAUACCUUGAAGUGAACCUCAUUCCUGUGGCUACUCCCAUGCCUUGGUUAUAAAAGCUUGCUCUGUUUAUAAAAUUUCCAGCAGCAGUUGAUGCUGUGUGUGUGCCGUGGCCAUUCGAGUCUCGUGCGGAUCGAAAUAUCCCUGUUCCAUUCAAUCUACCGACAGCAGCCUCAUAGGCUUGAAUGAAGGUUCUUGCUCCAAUGAGUUUUUUGUUACAAUUUGAAUGUGAGAAGUUCGGACCUGUUUGGCAAAUGCCUUUCCACUUUGAGGGAACAGGGGGGAGACCUUUGUCCUGAAAACUUAUAUGCUCAGGCCAAAUGCCAGUGUCGAGUACACCAAUAAUAAUAUCAGAAGCUAAGUUUGAAGAAUUCCAAAGGCCAUGGCCUCUUUGAAGGCCAAGAAACUGAGGGGAGUGAGUGGUGUGAAGCUGUAGUAGUUCAUUUGGAGUGGCUGCUACAAAACCUGGAACUUUGCUUAAAGAAUGAAGGUUUCUCGAGGAGAGCUUUGCAGAAAAACCUGAAAAUCAAAAAUUUUAAUCUCACAAAUUAUUCUUAACAAAUUAGUCUCUAUAUAUCUUCACAAAUCUUAUCAAAAUCACCUCACAAAUUUCAUUAAACAAUCAUAUAGUCUUUAUAAUUCAGUAAAUUUUGUAUUCAUCUAUAUAUAACAAAUUUCAUUAAAUCUUAAUGAUAUUUUUGUUAUAGAAACUAAAUAGUCAUGAUUUAAAUUCAAUCAUCAUUAAACUAUUACAAAUUUGGAAGUAAAAAAACUAAAUGUACUUUUACAAAACUAUUUUCAAAACUGAUACUAUAUUUCCAAAAAAAUUAUUGAUCCAGAAAGUUUUAUAGAUUAGUAAAAAUAGGCCAAUAGUAUAUUAAAGAGUGGAACUUCAACCUUGGUCUAAGAGAUAAUUUUACUACUAAACUAAUUUUUGAAAUUAACUUUAUAUAUAGAUAUAUAAUAUAAAUAGCAUAAAUCCACCUAGUUAUAUGGUAUCUGAUUAGGUGUUUCCAACUCUUUUAGAAAGUUAAGAUCUCAAAUUUUUAGGAACAUCAAUAUUUAAAAUCUUGCCUGAAAUGACAGUUUUAUAGACAUAGAGAAUCUCGGCAGCAUUCAAUGCUUCUUCAUCGUCGUUGUUGUCGCCAUAGAGAGAUGAGAGUUGGUUGACUGAAUCAAUGAUGGCUGUGUACCAUUGUUCAGGGUUGGGGGUGUCCAUCUUGGUGGUGUCCAUGUGAACUAUGUAUGUUUGUUGAUCCAUAGCAACACUUGAAGUUGUAAGCAUUGUUAUGUACAAAAGUAAUAAGACUUCUUUAAACCCCAUUGUGUAGCUGUAAACCGAAAAGAAAACUGACAACAUAUCAGUUAGUAUUGAGACAAAGGGAAGUUUAUAUAUAUUUCUUAGACUUUGUUUGAUAAUCCUUUCCAGCCCGUUCCCAAACUAUUUGGUAUGCUUUAUAACUUAUGUUCUUAUUCAUAAAAGAAAAAAAAUCAUAUGAUUAUUGUUUUUAAUUCUUUGUUUUAAUAUCAAAACAUGCUUGGUAAUUAUUUUUAGUAAUAUUUUUCUUAAAAUAAAUUAACCACAGAAAACAUGUUUGAUUAUUUUUAUUUUAUUUUUUUAUGUAAAUUUCUAAAAGAAUAAGUCACUACAUUUUUUAGUUUUAUUUUUCUUAAACAAACUCUUGACAGACAUUAUUACAAACAGCAAACAAAAAAAUUGAAAUUAUUUAUAAAAUAUAACAAAAAAAAAAGUUAAUAAAUAUUUAAUGAUUUUUUUUACUAUUUAUAAAUAGUUUCAAUUUAUUUGGUACCUUUUGAAACUUGUAUGAACUUUGAAACAUAUGGGCAAAAAAAAGUAUAUAGGCUUAGUUUUCUAACAACUAAAAUAUUUAAGAUCAUAAUUUUAUUUUUCAAAUUACAAAGAUAUUUUUAUAAAAUUUAAUAACUAAAAAACAAUGCUAAUUACAAAAGUACGUUUGAAAAAACAAAAAAUAGAAUCAGGAAAAUAAAAAUAUUAAGAAAUUGAUUACUAAAUAGACAUUUGAUUUAUUUUUCCUCCGUUACUUUUUCUUUAUUUUCUUACCACUUAUAUACAAUGGUUUACCCUUUUUUCAAAACCAAUCAUUUAAAUUCUUAGGGAGCUGUUUAAGAAAUGAAAAUAAGUUUUUUCAUUCUUUAUAAAAGAAGUUACCAUUCCUUCCAUAACCAUUUCGUUUUCGUUUUUUAAGCCAUAUUUAAAAAGUAAAGUUAGAAAGUAAAAAAUUUGGAGAUCGAAAAUAGUAUCUAUUGAUUUAAUUUUAACAAAAGGGUUAGUAAAAGGGCAUUUUU
Molecule: long non-coding RNA, 52242 nt
Filed under: Cucumis sativus (cucumber)
Lineage: Eukaryota; Viridiplantae; Streptophyta; Magnoliopsida; Cucurbitales; Cucurbitaceae
Description: long non-coding RNA (CSAT_LNC001859)
Source: RNAcentral